UCACACAUUGUACCACCAUUAACCCGUUGUUUUCUUUCCCCUUCCUACUGCCACACCUUGUACCACCAUUAACCUAUUGUUUUCUUUUUGUUUCUCUAUAUAGUCGUCGUACAUUGAACCGUUGAACCUCUCUUGAUUAUUCCCUUCCACUGUCGUCACCUCUACUACUAUUUGGGUUGUCGAUCUUCCUUCCUUCCUUGAGGGAUUCCUUAUUCAUUCGAUACACUAUUGGUGAUUAAAUCCAUAGUCUUUAGAAAAAAAUCGGUAAGUUAUACAUUUGUAUCAAUUAAACAUUGAUUCUAGGAAAUUUAACUGAAUUACGGCUCUUUCUUCUUUUUCGUUUAACCGAUUACAUUUAGAUUUAACCAAAACUUUGUCAUUGAUUCUAACAUUAAGUAGUUUCAUGUGAAUGAUGUUAAACGGCCAGAUUUGGGAGAGGUGGAUCAAAUCUAAACUUGAGGAGUGUCGAAUGGACUAGUAGAGAAGGUGUGUAUCUUGAUUAGUGUUGUAAUGCGUGUGUGUCGGCAUUCAGCCGAAUGCAUAUGUGCUACCCUUGUGAUUUUUGGUUGUUAAUUUCAUAUCUUGAUGAUGAUUAAAUACCUAUAAUGAUUUCAGUUUUGCUAAGUAAACCUGGAUCUGGUAUAAAAAUAACCUUUGAACCUGUAUCGAAAAACCGUCAAUUGAAUUUAUUGGGUAACGAAACUAUGUAUGAUAGAUCUAAUAAACUUUGAAUUGUUAUGUUGAUAAUGUAUGUGAUGUAAACCCUGUCUUAAAUCUGCCAUUGCUACUAAUGCAUGUUUACUACUACUAUUAAAAUAACAAUCUGUUUCUGAAUACAUGAAAGUUGUAUGUCAAUACUGCUAUCGUUACUAUUUUUUUAUUUGAAAAAGCAUGUCAUGCUAUUGCAUCGUGAUUGGGAUAUUGAAGGUGAAAGUAUAGGCUCUAAAUGUUGGGCCAGUUCACCGAUCAAAACUAGUAUUAUAUUGGCAGUUCAAUGUAGCAAUUGCAUCAUCCCAAUGAGUCAAGACAAAAUUAGGAGGAAAGAACCGGUCACUACCUCGAAGCUUGGUUCCAUUCAUUUGUGUUACAAAAUAGAUUUAGAAUAGUUUUCCUUUUAGUUUAGUAUUCUAACUUAUAUGAUAUUGAUUGUGUUUAUAGAUGUUUAGGUUGAGUAGCUUAUGUAUUUGCUUGAAUUAGUAGUUAAUGUGUAAUUUAUGUUUUAAUUUCUAAGUGUUGUGUAUUCCACCCUUUCAAUAUUCUUUUUUCUCUCGGGAUUCGAUCGUCGGAGUAUGAGUAGUGUCCAAUAUACUCUAAUUUUUACAGCCCCGUUUUAGGCUAAAAUGUGCAAAGUCUAAUUUUUCAUAAGUUUUCGUGUGUUUUGUAUUUUUUAUAAUUUUUUCGAUGUUUUAUUUAGUUUUUAGCAUAAAAAUUAAUAAAAAUUGAUGGUGUGUUGUUCUAUUGUGUAACCAAAAUAGCCUACAUCGCAACCAAGGUUGUCAGUAUCGCACCGGUAGGUGUACCGUUUUUCUACUAGAAUUGAUGUGUACCGACACCAAUUUGUUCCAAAUUUUUACAAAUAAAUUUCAGAUGAAUGAUAUAAAAAUAUUUACAAAUAUCAAAUGAAUGAUAUUUAAUAAUUUUCAAAUAUUAAAUAUUCAUGCUGUAAUUGAAGCACAAUUUUCGGCAAAUGUUUUCAUUAUUUAUUACCAUAAUGGUAAAAUGUUAGAAAAUUUAUAUUUUUUUAAUAUUAUUCAUGAAUAGAGGUGAUCAUGGGUUGGGCUACCCAGCCCAGCCCGACAGCCCGCCUAUAAAAUAGGACGGUUCAGGUAAAAAUAUAAGCCCAAAAUAUGGGUUUGGGCAAAAAACGAGGCUCGUUUAGAAAAUGGGUUAGGCCUCAGGCAAAACUUUUUUGGCCCAGGCCCGGCCCGGCCCGGCCAAGCUCAGGCUUAGCAAUUUUCUUUCGGGCUGGGCUUGGGCCUAGAAAAUAGUCCUAAAAUUUUGUCUGGGCCCGGCCCGACCUAACCCAUGAUCACCUUUAUAAUAAUGCACUAGUUGUGCAGAAUGUUGGACUGGUGUGACCAAAAUUGGACGAAAUAGGUUGUUGCGACCGAUAUGUACCAAAAUUUUAGUCGAUGUGAAAAACAGGAGUUGGUUGCAAUAAUUUAUUAUCGGAACGGUGAGCAUCGACUGGAAUGGUAGGAACCAAUAUGGAACCGACUUCAUUGAUCACAACACCAUGAUUGAGCGUCAUAAUGCCAUGUUGGAAGAUUGAAACAUGAAAGUUUGAUGAUCCUAAAUGGGCAUUCUUGUACUUUCACUCUUAAGUAUCUUAAAUCACUACAAAAACCAUCUUUAUCUCAUAUUUAACAACAUGUUUAAAGAAGAUGGAUCUCUUCUCCGUGAAGGAUGUUGCAUCAAGCUUCACAUCUCUUGUGUAUUAUCUCAAUUUAUGUUAAUUAAAGAGUUUAGCCAAUGGUAAAAUUGUACUGUCCAUGGUAAUCGUGUUAUGAUGUCAUACAAUUUUUGUGAUUCCAAUGCAUUAGAAAAGAGAUGAUUAAUAUUUGAGAGGACAAAAGAAAAAGAAGGAAGAUGAAAGAAUGAGUAAUAUGCAAUAGAAGCAAAAAUUUCUAAAGUAUAUUUUACUAUAACGUAACCUAAGAAUAUUACAUUUGUGUUGAAUUUAAUGUACAAGAUGAAGUCCAAGAUGAUGUCCAAUGAUAUCUGAGACUAGGUUAAUAGUUGAGGAUGUUGAGAAUAUUGACUCAGAUUUUGAUCAGCCCCCUAAGUAGAUCCUCAAGCCCUUCUGCGAAGUCUUGAAGGCAAGACUAUGAUAAUUUGAGUUCAUUCUGAACUUUCUCAAUUUGCAUAAGGUCAGUUUUACUUGUUGCAAGGGACAGCAGUGAGGCUUCAGCAUUUGCCAUUUCUUUGAUAUGCUGUUCUCCUUUGCUGUUGACUCUUUUUGUGUGCAAAAGCUUUGAGACUAACGACUAGGGGCUCGUAUGUGAUUCUUUUUGGACCUCAAAAGUGUUGAAACAUUUUCAAGUAUUUAUAGUGUUCCAAUAAGUAUAAAUGAAUGGAUGUAAUUAAUCAAAAGAUUAUAUUAUUUGAUUUUUUGAAAAAAAAGUUAUAACUAUUUAAAUAAUAUUGAAUAGUUAUAAUAUUAAAUGAAUAAUUAUGUAUUUUUUUAAAGACAUUAUUAUUCAAAAAGACACCUACUGGUGAAAGAUGUCUCUGUGAAGAGACAUGAAAAUUCCUAUAAAUAAGAAUGAGAUUUUAUUUGGAAAAUAUACCAAAAAAUUCUAAUAUUCUUUCUUUCCUUCCUUCAUUUUCUAAUAUUAUUAGAUUAUUCUAUAAAGUGUUACUGUAGAAAUCCUUUGUAGAAAUUGAGUUUCUUGUUAUACAUUGCUCAGUGCAUAGUGGACUAUUCUUGUCAGUGUAAAACGCAAAUAGUCAUUGGCUUCAUUGUAUUUUCGAGGUUAAUUAGCUUGGAACUCAUUUCCAAACCGAAGAUAUGUGGGGGUGAAUAUAACCUUAAAGAUAGUGACUUGAUACACGCCUUGAAGCCUUGUCCUAUUUCUUAUUUUAUCAACUUUAAAGAUUGCUUAUGUUUUGGAUACUCCAAAACCUGAAGAGAAUGAAAACGAAUCUGUUGCUGCAACCCAAGAAAGACAAAAAUGGGACAAUGCUGAUUACAUGUGCAUGGGCCACAUAUUGAAUGGUUUAUCUGAUGUUUUGUUCGACACCUACCAAAACGAGGUUACCGCUAAAGAAUUAUGGGACAAAUUGGAGACAAGAUACAUGACCGAAGAUGUUACAAGUAAGAAAUUUCUUAUCAGUCGUUUUAAUAAUUAUCAAAUGGUUGAUGGUCAUUCUAUUAUGGAACAAUUCCAUGAUAUUGAAAAGAUGCUGAAUCAAUCCAAACAAUAUAAUAUGAAAAUGGAUGAAAUGAUUGUUGUAUCCUUCAUAAUAGACAAACUUCCUCCAUCUUGGUAACACUUUAAAAGAAGUCUAAAACAUAAGAAAGAGAAAAUAUCUCUUGAGGCAUUGGCAAAUCAUCUUCGUAUUGAAGAAGAAUAUCGAAAAUAAGAUCAGAACCUAAAUUCUGAAAAUGUCAAAGUGCAUGUUACGGAGAAAGUACAGACUACUAAACCAUUCAAGAGAAAGUUCAAACACACUGAUAGAGCACCUAAGUUCAAAAAGAAACAAAAGGGCUCAUGCUAUCAUUGUGGAAAGCCAGGACAUUUCAAGAAUGAAUGUCUAUUUUUAAAGAAGAAAUCAUCUUCUAAGGCUAAUAAUAACGAAAAGUUCGUUGCAAUGAUAUCUGAAAUUAAUAUGGCACAAGAUGAUAAUACAUGGUGGAUUGAUACUGGAGUAACUAAACAUGUGUGCAAAGACAAAAACAUGUUCACAAAGUUCACACAAUGUGAAAAUGACAAUGUCUUGUACAUGAGAAAUUCUUCCAGCGUAGCAAUAAAAGGCAAAGGGUCUGUUGAACUACAAUUCACUUCUGGAAAGGUUUUAACCUUAAAUGAUGUAUAUUAUGUACCAAAAGUUAGGAAGAAUUUAGUGUCUGGAAGUCUGUUGAAUAAGUUUGGUUUCAAACUUGUUUUUGAGGCAGAUAAGUUUAUUUUGUCCAAGCGAGGAAUUUUUGUGGGGAAAGGGUAUAUGUAUGAGAGUAUGUUCAAACUCAAUAUUUUUAAUAAGAAUAAAAAUACUAUUUCUGCUUAUAUGGUUGAAUCUUUUUGUUUGUGGCAUUAUAGAUUAGGUCAUUUGAAUUAUAGAAAAUUGAAUGACAUAUAUAAGUUAGAUUUAAUUCUUGUUUUUAAUAAUAAUAUUGAAAAAUGAAAUACAUGUAUGUUGACAAAAAGUACAAGAAACCCUUUCCCUAAAGUUAAAAGGAAAACAAAAUUGCUUGAUUUGAUACAUAGUGAUUUAUGUGCAUGCAUAAUAAUCCUACAUUAGGUGGAAAUAAAUAUUUUGUUACUUUUAUUGAUGAUUGUUAUAGAUAUUGUUAUGUAUACUUAUUGCAUUCAAAAGAUGAAGCGCUUGAUAAAUUUAAAGUUUAUAAAUCUGAAGUUGAACUUCAGUGUGAAUCAUUUAUCAAGUGCUGAAGAUCAGAUAGAGGUGGAGAACACUAUAAUCCAAGUACUGAAGGUUUUGGACAAGGUUUUUGGGUAGAAGUUGUUCUAACAGCUUGUCAUUUAUUGAAUAGAGCUCCUAAUAAAGAAACCAAAAGAACCCCCUAUGAACAAUGGAGGAAAGGAAACCAAACCUUAAUUAUUUGAAGGUUUGGAGUUGUAGAGCUAUUGUUAAAAUUCUAACACCUAAACGUAAAAAGUUAGGUGAAAGAGAAAUUAAACACAUAUUUAUAGGUUAUACACAUAAUAGCAAAGCAUAUAGGUUCAUGGUAAUUGAACCAAAUGAUUCAAUUUCAAUUAAUACUGUUAUUGAAUCAAGAGAUGCUAUUUUUUAUGAAAAUAGAUUUAAUUCUAUAUCAAGACAAUUACAGCCACAACAAUUGAUUCAUUCUUCAAAUGAGAAUGAGAUUCCAUUGAAACAAAUUGAUAAUAAUGAUGAAUCUUGUCAAGAAUUAAGAAGAAGAAUUAAAUAACAUUAUUUGAAUAUUUAUAAUAUUAAAUGAAUAAUUAUGUGUUUUUUUUAAAGACAUUAUUAUUUAGAAAGACACCUAUUGAUGAAAGAUGUCUCUUUGAAGAGACAUGAAAAUUCCUAUAAAUAGGAAUGAGAUUUCAUUUGUAAAAUACACCAACAAAUUCUAAUAUUCUUUCUUUCCGUCCUUCAUUUUCUAAUAUUAUUAGAUUAUUCUAUAAAGUAUUACUGCAGAAAUCCUUUGUAAAAAUUGAGUUUCUUGUUAUACAUUGCUUAGUGCGUAGUGGACUUUUCUUGUCAGUGUAAAAUGCAAAUAGACAUUGGUUUCAUUGUAUCCUCAAGGUUAAGUUCCUUGGAACUCAUUUGCACACCGAAAAUUGGUGGGGGUGAAUAUAACCUUAAAGAUAGUGGCUUGAUACACGCCUUGAAACAUUGUCCUAUUUCUUCUUAUUCUAUUCAAGUUCCGUUCGUGUGUUCAAGAUUUUUCUCACUGGAGUUUUGUACAAACAAAAAGUAAAGGAGAACAAGGACUCUAGCAUGCUAAGAGUGACUGCUUGAACCUCCCUUAAGAUGCUAACCGUGGCAUAGGUCUCGUUCAAAGCGGUGCUUUCCUCGUGCUUCAAAUUCUUCAAGGUCUUCAAGAUUGCCCUUUUAGCUGCCUUCUUAGAGCUCAAGUAUUUUCUAACCUCAUUAGCAAAGCCUUUUGUAGCACCUCUCUUUCAGCACAAGAUAGAUUGAAGUUCUACAGUGCGUUCCUUUACUUGCAAUACGACAUCCUUGGCAGUGGUGAAUACAUCUAAAAGCCCAAGAGAUCCAUUCAACAGCUCAUCGACAUAUUCCCCUUGCUGCUAUGGGAUAAGGUUUGUUGAGUCAAGGGUAGCAGAAGCAGUUUCUCAGUGCAAUCAUGUAAAUCGUGAAGUCUACCGAGUUUUUGGUUUAAGGACGACGAUGUAGAUGCCGACUCAGACGAUGCCAAUCUGCUCAAAUGCUCAUCAACCUUGGAAGCAAGAGGGUGGGCUCGAGAGGGAAAGCUAUUGGAACGAUUGUGGUAACCAGUGGUAGCCAUUAUUUCCUCUGGAAAUAACAACUUGGAAGUUGUGAUCUGAAUUCAAUUUGCCUUUUCUUCCCUUCAUCUACCUAAUAUAUAUAUGCAUAUAUUGUGUGAAAGAGGAGACAUGAAGAAUCUCACCCUUCAAAAUUGAAGUCAUGAGGUAACAUGAACUUGAUACCAAUCUGAACUACUAUGUCAGCAUGGUUGAGCGAUGUCUCCCUCCUAACAUGCUCCACAACUCAUAACAUGAUUCUUUUAAUUAGUAUAUAAGAUUCCUGAUAUAAUAAAACUAUACUAUAUAAUGGGGCUAUGCACGAGUGGCUUUAAGCUUGCUUCAACUGACAGUGGCUACUUGUCUAUUAUUUGGAGACAAGAGACUAAUUUAUGUAACUAUUAUUGUUUAAUCAUUUCCAUCAACAUCGACUUGAACAUGUGCAUGCAAUUAACACGGUUGAGUUUAUUAAUUUCUUGUCGUGCAGGAGGCGGGCAAGAUCUGCAAUCUCAACCUGUACAUAGUUUGCAACUUAUAGAAAAAUGGGUGGAGUUUAAUGAUCAAUGCAGGAUGACAAAGCUGUGAGCAUAACUGAGAGACAGUUUUCGUUAAAUAAUGGACCUUUUAAACACAAAAUUAAAUACAGAUUAAAAUCAAAAUCAAAAUAAUUGGAGUAAAAAUGGCAAGGGGUAGGACAAGAUCCACUUUCGUAUCCUUUGCUCCCUUUUCUCCUCACAGAACCGAAGAAACUAUUGUGAUCGACAGACUAUGAUUUAUUUUCUUAAAGCGUGUGAGAUAUGCAUGUAUCUACCAUGUCAUAGUCAAAGUAAUCAAAUUGUUAAAACUUAUCAAAACAGGAAUCCUGACAGCUCAUGCAUUCAUAGCAGAAUCGCAUCAAAUCUGGAAUUUGGGUUUGGAGUUGGAAUUCCAGUAUCUAUAAUCUCGUAAAAAGAAAAGUUCAAUUUGCUAGUUCAGAUAUUGGUGGACAAGAUUUAAUGAAAAGAGAGAAAGUUGGUGGAACGAAGACUGUAUAAUUUUUUGUUUUAACAAUAGUUGUAUACAUGUAAGUUAUAAUUAUGUACAAGUUUACAAUGCCAAGAUUUCAACAGUUGACAAUGUUUAGAACAGUGACUCUAGCUUUGAUCAAACGCCUGAAGAAGCUUUCAAGACCUUCUUCAAGGUCUUGGAUGCACAACUCUGAGUUUUGGAGCUCAUUUUGCACAUUCUCAACAUGCUUCACGUUUCCAGAUUUAAUGAAGGAACGCAAUGCGGCUUCAGCAUUCGCGAUUUCAUUUGUUUUCUCUUCUUCUUCCUCGCACCUUACUCUUUUCUGGUGCAUUAACUUUGAAACUACUGACCACCGGCUCGAUGCCUCUGGCCCUGAAAUAAAGGACAACAAGGAUUGUAACACGCCCAUGGUGGCUGCUACUACUUGUUUUAAGGUGCUAAUCACGGCUCCGGUCUCACCGUCUUUGCUCAUAAGUUUAUUGUCCAUAUGCUUCAAGUUCUUGAAGGCCUUGCUUAUUGCCUUUCUCACUUCCUUCUUGGAGGUUAAGUAUUUUCUAACCUCAUCACCAAACCCUUCAACUUCUCCUCGUCUUCGGCCCAAAACCGAUUGGAGUUCUUUAGUGCAUUCCUUGAUUUGCAACAAGGCAUCUUUAGCGGUUCCGCAUACAUCCAGGAGCACGAGAGAUGCAUCCAAAACUUGUUCAACCAAUUUCCUUUGCUGGUCUUGAGCUAGAGCUUGUUGAGUGAGGGGAAACUGAAGCAACAUAUCCACAUAGUCGUACAAAUCUUGAAGAUAGGUCAGUUCGUACAAAUCUUGAAGAUAGGUCAGUUCAUGUCCUGUGGAUGACGAAGAUGUAGAGGCCGAUUGAGAUGCCCUCAAUCGGUUUAGAUAUUCAUCAAUUUGUGAAGUGAUGGGGUGUUGCCUUGAAGGCAAGCUGUUUGAGCGAGCAUGGAAAGAAGGUUGGACAUUCAAAGGAGAGGCAGCCAUUUCUUUGUUUUAGAGAAGAAAGAAGGCCUUGCAAUUGCAAUUGUGUGUUUCAACUCACUCUACCUAUUUGCUGUCUUCCCAUUGUCAUCUGCUAAAUAUAUAUAUAUUACAGGCUGAGGGUGGACAAGAGGAAUCUCAUCCUCUUUAAAUAUCAAUUACAAGUAACAUGAACUAGAUUUGGAUCUACAAAACUGUUCAUGUGUUGUCUCCUUUCCACCGUCAAAACAACUCAUUACCCUUUAGCAAAUACAAUCAAAACUUAUCUUCAAUAGCAUGAUAAUAAUAUAAAAAUAUACAAAUACACACGAUGGUGCUGAGAAAGUAUAUAGGCAAUGGCCAUUUGCUUUUCCGUUCUUCCCUUAUAUUAAUGCCUCAUUGCUUUCAACUUGUCUGCUGGUUAUCACCUUACGUUUGGCAAAAGGGAGGCAAGAUCCGCAUGCUUGACUUGUAUACUAUAAUUUUUAGCAAGAAAGCAUUUCUUGAAGAUUCGAUUGUCCCUUAACUAACAAUUUUUUAUGAUGCAGCUCGUGUAUGAUCUGAAUCAACCAUGUGAAUGUCAAUUGAAUUUUUUAUUAGUUUCUAAUAAUGUGUUUGUGGAUUGAGACGGUAGGAUUCUUGACAUUGAAGAAGAUGAUUCAGGGAUAGUCAAGAAGAGUUCAUUUUUGAAGACUUAUUUCUCUAUUUUUAUUUAUGUUUUAAUUGAUAGAUUGAGUCAGCUCAGUCCGAAUCUGGUUUAACAACCUUCCCUCAAUUGAAACAUCAAACAUUUGAAUUUAUGGCUUAAAAAAUCGAAAGUUAGAAAAUCAGUCUUGAGGUUCUUGCUAAGUUGGUGUUUAAAACAGAAUGGAGUUUAUUCCAGACAAAUGGGAAAAAAAGGUGCAGAUAAAUGCUAGAAAAUGAUAUUGUAGUAUCAAAACUGCAUUUCAUUCAGUAUAUAUAUGUAUAUCUCAUGUCUGUACAAGAUUGGUGUUUACAAAAUUUUCUAAUGAUUGAGUGCGUUGAGAAAAGACACCCUAGCUUUGAUCAUACACCUGAAGAGGCACUCAAGUCCAUCUUCAAGAUCUUGAACGCAAAGCUCCAACUCUUUUAGCUGUCUUGGCAUCUCAACAUUCUCAGAUUUGCUCAUCUUCUGACUCAUUACUGAUCUUAAAGCAGCAUCAACCUUCUCAAAUUCAUUAAUGUCUCUUCUUCCGGUUUGUUCACACGCUAUCCGUUUGUGGUGCAAUAGCUUGGACACUAACGCCCAGCUGCCACACUUCGAUCGUUCCAUUGGCCCUGAGAUGAGGGUGAAUAAGUACUCAAACAUGGAGGAAGUGACUGCUUCAGCCUCCCUUAGCAAGCUAACCAUUGCCUUGGUCUCGUGGUCGUUCGAAGAUGAGAAGAUGCGUUUCGUUUCCACGCCCUUCACAUUCUUAAAUGCCUUGUGGAUAGUCUUCUGCACCACUUUUCUGGAGGUGAAGUACUUCCUCACCUCACCCACAAGCUCGACUUCUCCGCAUGGUCUUCUUCGCAUAACUGAUUGAAUAUCCUGUAUACUUCCUUUUGUUUGCAACAAAAUAUCCUUAGUAGUGUUGCACAGGUCAAAGAGCCUAAGGGAUCCAUCCAACAAUUCAUCAACAGGUCCCUUGUUUUGUUCUUGAGCUAAUUCUUGUUGGGAAAAGGGCAACCGCAGCAACUUAUCCACACAAUCAUACAAAUCCUGAAGGCCAUUUAGCUUAUGGCUUAUUGAUGAUGACGUUGACGUUUCUUUGGAGUCCCUUAAUCUGUUCAAAUGUUCAUCAAUCUCUGAAACAAGUGGAUUUGGUCUAGAUUGCAAGGGGAAGCUGUUAGAACGAGCGUGGUGAGUUGUUUGGGCUGCCAUUUUUCUUUCUUCUUCAGGGGAACAGCCCAAUGGUUGAAUGUUUCUACCUAUUAUUUGCAAUAGCAGCAGUAGGCAUCAGCUCCAUUUUAUAUAUACAUCAGGUCAUACAGACAAAAGGAAUCUUAAAUACUUAUUUAAUCAGCAAUUUCUUAUUGUUUCUUCACUCAAUUUGGAUAUCGAUCUGAGAACUCUGUCAGCGUUGUUUAUGCAAAAUGUCUUCCCUCAACCAGCUCUCCAGCUCAGGGCUGUCCAAUUAAGUUAACAUCAUCCAAUUUCGCCGUGCACAAGUUAGCUGUUGUCAUUGUAUAAUUGAAAUAAGACAACUGCAAACAAUAAAUAUUUGCACAAGUGCAGCUACAUAUUCUAUCCAUUUCUAUAUGAUAUUGUGUCCCUUGGAAGUCGGAACCUAACAUUUUCAUUUUUUCUCCUCAUAAAAGAAGUGACAUUAUAAUACACACGCACACUAAAUUAAAAGAUCAUGUACUGUAAUUGUAUAUUUUACCAAAUUUCCUCCUGUUGGGUGUUUUACUGAGCAUUUUUUGAGGCAAAUACAGACUGUUUGAACUUUUAUCCAAUGCCUACUUGCUGUUCAUCCUCCUCAUUCACAUGUUCAGAUGCUCCAUUAUUCUAACCAAAGUAGAAUGAUUAAAUCAAAUGUCUUUAGGGUUUCGAAAUAAUUGCUAAACAAGAUCCUGUAGGAUGAAAUUGGCUUCUGAGUAAUUCAUUUUACUAUUCACAAUUUGUUAUCAUUUGAAGUAUGCAUGACCGCGUUCACCAUAUGAUGGUCAAGCUUUCAAUUAUCUCUAAGGACGACAUAAAAGGAAUCAUGACAGAUCAGAUAUUCACAAAGUUUCUCAGCUUCCAAAUUUGGUGAUGGAGACUGUCAUUCAACUUGCAAAACUAGAUCUUAAUCUAACAGGCUUAAAAGGUGCACCAAACCAUUCUGGAAUGAUUAUUAAAAUUUAUCCCCUAAGAAAACAGAAGAAAAUUGUGGGAAAAACAAUUAGACCAUAUAACUUUCCUAUUACUAGCAAAACAGUAGAAAAUUGAUCAAUAUUUGGAGAAAUAAAACAAAGAAAAUGAUAAAAAAUAUAAUUAAAAGAGAAAAAAAAUUGUAUAUGGAAGAAAUAAAAUUCCUUAUAAUAAACUUUUUAUUUCAAUCACUCUACUUAAAUUCUUCAUCACAUACAACUCUUUAUAUAGGAGUUGUAAGUGACUAUUCAUCUAUAUCACUAAAUGCUAGGAGUUGUCACUAUUCAUUUACAUAACUUGAAUACUAUAAGAGUUAUGACUAUCCAUGCAUGUGUAUAACUUUUCAUAUUCAAGUCUCUUCACUCUUCAUAAUGUGUGUAACUUUUCAUCUUCAAGUCUCUUCACUCUUUUAACUUUUCAUAAUUUAUUUGUACAAGAUUAAUUUAAUUAUGUGCCAACAAUGCCUCCCUUAAAUUAAACUUGCUUCGAACUCCCAACCUUUCAACAUUUUUCUUGAAGACUUGUCCACUAAGCGGCUUUGUGAAGAUAUCAGCCAUCUGAUCUUCUGUCUUGCAAUAUUCAACUUGAAUAUCACCAUUAUUCACUAGUUCCCUCAAGAAGUGAUACCGAAUGCGAAUGUGUUUUGUCCUUCUAUGAAGAACUGGAUCUUUUGUGACCGAAAUAGUAGAACUAUUGUCCCAAAACAAAAUCGUUGACUUGCUCUGCUUCUGCUUAAGACUCUCCAAAAUUCCACGUAACCAAAUCAAUUGACAUCCUGCAUAAGAUGCAACGAUAUAUUCAGCUUCUGUAGUCGAAAGCGCCACAAUUGAUUGUUUCUUUGAACUCCAUGAAACUGCACCACUACCAAGGUGAAAAACAUAACCAGAAGUGCUUCUGCUAUCAUCAAUGCUUCCUGCUAAAUCACUAUCCGUAUAACCAAUGAGAUCAACUAAUGUAUUAGCUUGAUAGAAAAUUCCAUAAUCAAUGGUUCCCUUCACAUAUCUCAAUAUUCUCUUGGCAGCCUCCCAGUGAUUGGAGUAAGGUUUCUCCAUGAAUCUACUCACCAAGCUAACAGCAUACACGAUGUCAGGCCUUGUCGAAGUCAGAUACAUCAACUUCCCAACCAAACUUCUGAAUAUGGUGGAAUUGACAAGCUUUCCUUCACCCUCUUUAGAUAACUUCAAACCUGUAAUGCAUGGAGUAGAGACUGGAUUCGCAUUUUCCAUCAUGAACUUUUUAGAACUUCCUUUGCGUAGCUCUCUUGUGAAAUAAAAAUUCCUUUCUCGGAUUGAUGAACUUCAAUGCCUAGAAAAUGAUGAAGUUCUCCCAAAUCUGUCAUCUUAAAUUCUGCCAUCAUUGAGUGCCAAAAUUCUUUCAACAUCUUCACAUCAUUUCCUGUGAAAAUAAGAUCAUCAACGUAGAAACUUACAACCAUGAAUCUUCCUUGAGAAUUUCCUUUGAUGUAGAGAGUAUGCUCAUAUGGAGAUUUCUGGAAUCCACACUUCUGAAAAUAAGAAUCGAUGCGGCUGUACCAAGCUCGGGGUGAUUGCUUCAACCCAUACAAAGUUUUCUUCAACUUGUAAACUUUUUCUUCUUCUCCUUUUUUGACAAACCCUGGUGGUUGAUCAACAUAGACUUCUUCUUUGAGAACACUAUUCAAAAACGUAGAUUUUACGUCUAUUUGGAACAUUUUCCAAUUGUUUUGGGCAGCAAGAGAAAUAAGUAACCGAACUGUCUCAAGUCUUGAAACUGGAGCAAAUACCUCUAUAAAAUCUUCUCCUUCCUUUUGCUUGUAUCCUUUUGCAACCAAUCUUGCCUUGUACUUGUUGAUAGAGCCAUUCGGAUUCAUCUUUGUCUUGUACACCCAUUUGACUCCAAUUGAAUUCUUGUGCGGUGGUAAAUCUGUGAGUUCCCAUGUAUCAUUGUUUUCAAUUGAGCAAAUCUCUUCUUUCAUGGCUUUCCUCUAUAUUUCUUCUUGAUAUGCAUCAUCAAAAGAAAUUGGAUCUCCUGCAAAGAAAAAAAAAGAAUACAGUAUCAUUUUGCACAACUUCAUCCGUUACAUCAUAUAACUCUUGGAUGCCUCUCGUUUUUCGGAUCGGGCUGGAUGAAGAAGAAUUUGAUGAAGAACUUGGGGAAGCAGGAGGAUUUCCUACUUGAGCAUCAUCUUCAGCAUUCUUAAUUACUGCCUCUUCUUCUUCUUCAAGUUUAAAAGGAAAAAUUGGCAAAUUUUUUUUUUCAACUUCCAUUUCUUCAAACAUGGAAUUUUCAUCAAACCGAACAUCUCGGCUUAUCACAAUCUUCUUUGUCACCGGAUUGUACAACUUGUAUGUCUUACUUCUUUCACUAUAGCCAAUGAAAAUGCAUUUCUCUGACUUGUCAUCCAACUUGCUUCUCAUUGCAUCUGGAAUAUGAGAGUAAGCAACACUCCUAAAUACUCUAAGAUGACGAACACUAGGCUUUAUACCAUACCACGCCUCAUGUGGCGUGCAAUUCUCCAAGCUUCUUGUCGGUGAUCUGUUUAUAAGAUAAACUGCACAGGAAACAGCUUCAGCCCAAAAUCUUCUUGAUAACCUCUUCUUCUUAAGAAGACAUCUAGCCAUUUCCAUAAUUGUUCUGUUCUUUCUUUCACACAUACCAUUUUGCUGAGGUGUAUGGCGGACUGUCAUUUCAUGCGAGAUGGCACUAUCUCGGCAAUAUUUCUCAAAUUCUUUUGAAAAAUAUUCACCUCCACGAUCUAUCCGUAAGGUGUUAAUUUUUAGCCCAGUAAAGUUCUCCACUUCUGCCUUGAAAUCUUUGAAUCUCUGAAAAGCCUCUGAUUUUUCUUUGACACAAUACACCCAUAACUUUCUUGAGUAAUCAUCAAUGAAAGAGAUAAAGUAACGAUUAUCUCCCAAAGAUGAAACUGUCAUUGGACCACAAAGAUCCGAGUGAAUAAGUUGCAAUGGUCUUCUUGCUUUCCACGAGGAUUGAGAAGGAAAAGCAAUUUUGUGUUGCUUUCCAAGUUGACAUGCUUCACAAACAUCAUCAAGCUGAUCGAUUUUUGGUAAACCUCUGACCAUCAUCUUCCUUGAAAGCAUCUCCAAAUUUCCAUAGUUCAAAUGUCCAUAUCUAUCAUGCCAUAACUUUGAAAUUCUUUUAUGAGCACCAAUAAAGCAAGACAUAUUCUGAUUUUGAACGGUGAGAGAGAAAAGAUUAUUUGAUGCCACUCCAACUCUAGCAACAACCUGAUUUUUCUUUGACAAAUAGCAAGCCAUGUCACGGAAAUGAAUAUCAUACCCCUUCUUCAAGAGAUGCCCAACGCUAAGCAGAUUAUUUUUAAGACCAAGAACAAAAUAAACUUCAGAAAUUUUCUCUACCCUUCCUUGCUUUGUUUUGAACUCCAACUCACCAACACUGCUAACUUUGUAAGCUUUGCCAUCUCUUAUUUUUACUUCUCCACAAUCAGAUUCAAAGAACUUUGAAAAUAAUUUUUUGUUACCUGUCAUAUGCUUGCUAGCACCACUGUCUAUGUACCAGACAUCAUCAAUCUCUCCACUAUGAGAUAUAAGCAACAAAGUUUCUUGCUUUUGCUCUUGAUUAUUUUGUACUAUAUUAGCGACAAUGAUAACAUUCAAAAUAGCCACGACCUCUUCCUCUUUGAUUUCCAUGUCCACGUCCUCUUUGUGAUCCUCUAAAAUUUUGACUUUGGUUGGCUUCUUUCCAUCCAUUCUCCAUGCUUGCAUCUUCACCUCUUUGACGAGCAUUUGAGCCUCUUCCUCUAAAAUAUCUUCCUCUUCCACGACCACGAUCUCUCCCUCUUUGAUUUUUAAAAUCUCCCUUCUUCUCAUUUAGAGACAACUUUGACUGGAGUGCUUCAUCUAGAUCUACUUCCUUUUUCUUCUUGUUUAAUCUUUCUUCAUGGGCUUGCAACGAACUUGUGAGUUCAUCAAUAGUCAUGGUACUCAAGUCCUUUGAUUCUUCAAUGGCUACCACAAUGUAGUUAAAUCUAGAAUCUAAAGAACGGAGGAUUUUCUCAACACCACAAAUAUCAUCCAUAGUUUCACCAUUUCUUUUUAAUUGGUUGACUAUGGACAAAACCCGUGAACAGUAAUCAGAAACUGAUUCUGACUCUAUUUUUUGCAAUGUUUCAAACUCCCCUCGAAGAGUUUGCAACCGAACUCUUUUCACCUAUUCAUCUCCUUUGAAUGAAUUUUGUAAAAAUUCUCAUGCUUGUUUUGUCGUGGUGGCACAAGCUAUUUUUUCUCAAGCCACUUCAUAUGAUUGAACUCCUUGAUAUAUCCAAAAUAAGGCUUGCUGAUUUUUUUCCUUAAUUUUCUUAGACUCUCUUUUUGAACUUGUGCUAAUCCUUCCUCCUCUUCAGCCUCAACUUCAUUAUAACCUUUUUCAACAAUCUCUCAAACUUCUAGAGAUCCAAGAAGAGCCUUCAUUUGGAUACUCCAUUUGCCAUAAUUUUCUUCGGUUAAUUGGGGAACGGAAGAAAGAGGAAUAGAAUUGUUCAUUUUGAUUGAACAAGGCUCUGAUACCAAUUUGUAGAAAAUUGAUCAAUAUUUGGAGAAAUAAAAUAAAGAAAAUGAUAAAAAAAUAUAAUGAAAAGAGAAAAAAAUUUAUAUGAAAGAAAUAAAAUUCCUUAUAAUAAACUUUUUAUUUCAAUCACUCUACUUAAAUUCUUCAUCACAUACAACUCUUUAUAUAGGAGUUGUAAGUGACUAUUCAUCUAUAUCACUAAAUGCUAGGAGUUGUCACUAUUCAUUUACAUAACUUAAAUACUAUAAGAGUUAUGACUAUCCAUGCAUGUGUAUAACUUUUCAUAUUCAAGUCUCUUCACUCUUCAUAAUGUGUGUAACUUUUCAUCUUCAAGUCUCUUCACUCUUCAUAUUCAAGUCUCUUCAUUCUUUUAACUUUUCGUAAUUUAUUUGUACAAGAUUAAUUUAAUUAUGUGCCAACAGAAACAUGUAAAUUUUCAUUUUUAUAUGAUUAAUGGUUAAGUAUAACUCCUAUUUCACUCAAAUUUGAGAAAUAAUCUUCUAGUUAUAUUCUAUUUAUUUGUUUCAAUCAAAAAUUGAUUAGUUUAGAUUAUUUUAUUAUUAUUUGACAUAUGAAUUUAGCCUAUAAAUAGACCCUUUUACAACCUUAGAAUAAACACCCAUUAGAUAUUAUAACUCAUAACACAUUUAGAGAAUCUUGUGUUUACGUUUUGAGGGUUCUUUGUUUUCAGGUUUUCGAGGUUUAGUUUUUAUCUCCAUCUUUUUGUACUCUUCGUUUCUUUUGCCAUUAUAGUAAAAUUAUCUUUGUCCGUGGUUUUUUAUCCUCUUUGGAGGAGUUUUUCCACGUUAAAUUUGUAUGUUCAAUUUCUCAAUUUCUUCUGUUAUUUUUACUUGUUCCUUACUUAAUCGGGUCAAUCUCUAACAAGUGGUAUCAGAGAUAGUUUAAUUUUCAUAAAUCAGCCCAUUCAGAUAUGGCAGUAACAAGGUUUGAAAUUGAGAAGUUCGAUGGUGAGACAAAUUUUAAUAUGUGGCAAGUUGGGAUGAUGGCAAUUCUAGUUUAAUCCGGUUUGAAAAAGGUUGUUACCGGGAAAAAGCCUGAGAAUCUAAAUAAAACAGAAUGGAAGAGCUUGAUGAAAAGGCUUUGUCUGCAAUCCAAUUGUGCCUUGCGAAUACGGUAUUACAGGAGGUAUUGAUGGAGAAGACCUCAUCUGCCUUGUGGAAAAGGUUAGAAACUCUUUAUGCAACUAAGUCUCUAGCUAACCGUUUAGUGUUGAAACAACAUCUAUUUACGUUUCGCAUGAACGAAGGUGAGCUUCUUAGAGAUCACAUCAGUCAAUUCAUUACUCUUUUAAAUGAUGUUGAGGUUCAUAUUGAUGAUGAAGAUCAAGCUAUGCUAUUACUAUGCUAUUGACCCCGUUCAUACAAGUCUUUUAGGGAGACCCUAAUUUAUGGUAGAGACAAACUCUCAUUCGAAGAUGUGAACACUACACCAAAAUAGGUUUUUAGCGGCGCUUUUUAAGCCACUAAAGGUAUUUGCGGCACUUCCACAAGCGCCGCAAAAAAGGCCGCUAAUGAAAACGUCGCAAACGUUUGCAGCGUUUACAAACAUAAACGCCGCUAAAGACCAUAUUCUUUAGCGGCGUUUUUGUUUGUGCGCCUCUAAAGAACAUGUUCUUUAGCGGCGUUUUUUUCUAAGUGCCUCUAAAGAGCAUGUUCUUUAGCGGCAUUUUUUUUCUAUGCGCCGCUAAAGAACAUGGUUUUUAACGGCGUUUUUUUCUAGGCGCCGCUAAAGAACAUAGUCUUUAGUGGCGUCUUUUUUCUAAGCGCCGCUAAAGAACAUGUUCUUUAGCGGCGCUUUUAUACAAAAACACCACUAUUUUUGGGAUUUUUUUAUAUUAAAUUUUUCAUUUUUUCGGCCCUCCUGUAGCAACAAAUCAAAAGCAACCAGAACUAAACCAGCCAAUAGCAAUAAAUUUAUAUGAUAUUUCAAAUUACAUGAAUAAAAUAAUAUUAAUAUCAAUAAAUAAAAGUACUGUUCAUAAUAUUUUUGCAAAAAAUGUUAAAUGUUAAAAUGAUAAAAAUAUUUAUGUCAUACACUAUGAAGGCGAAAGUUGCGACUUAAACAUCUUCAUCAUAAUCUGAAGCUGCUACUAGAGUUCGUCGUAUUUUUUGCUCUGCUCUGCUUCUCUCGCUGUAGCCUCCGCUUCCCUUGUUGCAGCCGCUGCUUCCCUCGCUUCCGCCUCUGCUUUAAGUUGUAGCUGAAGUUCUUCAUAUUUCCUUUGAACCUCAACUGUGGUCGCUUGCAUCUGAGCCAUCUAGUCUUUUAACCUCUGAACUUCAGCUUGAGCCUGACUCCCCGAAGCCAUGUAUUGGUGGGAGCUGGAUCCAAAAUAUUGGGUUGGGCUAACAAAAGAUCCUUGAAAUCGAACCCGACCAUACCUUUCAGGACCCAAAACUUUAGUAAUAAUCCGGUUAUCAAUGUCUUCAAGAUGAACAGAACUAUCACUAGAAGCAAUCGCUUCGUACUCCGCCUAUUUAUCCUUUAGUUUUUCCUAAUAAAUAUAUCACAUAGUUAGGAACGCAAUAUUAUAUAUUGAAAAACAUAUGCAACAUAACAAUAGUCGCAUUACAAGCAAUGAAUUAAACCAUUAGAAAAUAAACACUAUAAAUAACUAAAAUAAAUCAAAUCGUAUUAAGUAAACGUACCAUUAUUUCACCAGCUUCAGGAGUCAUGGGAGAUCCAUCUUUCAUCCUAUGUGUAAUUUCAAAAAGUUGAAGGCGUCCAACUUUUUGACCGGAUGACAGUUCCUACAAUAUAGUAGUAUAAAUAUUAUUUAAUAGAAAGUUAUACAUAUUCGACAAUAUUAAAAAAAUUAAAAAUACCUCCGCCUCAGCUACACAUGCAAAACUUCUCGACCCGGCUAUGUGGGUGAAUUUUUGUUUCUGCCUGCUGCUUUUUCCAACUUGUUCACAAUCCUACGUUACGAAAUUUUUUAGUACGUAAAUAGAAAAUACUAUAAACCAAAAUAAUUACAAUAGUUUGGAAGUACGUCAUACCUCACCUUUCUUCGAAUGCCAAAAUCUAACCGCAUCUUCCCAUUGGUACCUCAACAUACCCGGCGGGACAUUUUUCAAUUUCUCAUCGAGGGUUGUUUUUGUCUUAUAAUAAUUUUUCUUCAAACUACUUUUGUUGUCUCUCCAUCUUUUUCCCAAUGCCUUCUUUACAUAAACAUCCGAGACCUCUAAAGCAAACCUCGCCUACAAAAAAAAACACAAGUUAAUAAAGUAAAUAUAAAUGAAACUAUUUCCCAAGCAUUACAGAUGACAUUAACAUUUUGUUACCUUAAUAUUAUCGAGGGCUUGGUUUUUGUUGCUAUCGGGCAUUUGAGGCCAUGACUCGUAGUUGAUAGGCAACAUAUUCAGAUUUCGUGCUAAAAUGCCCAUGUAUCCUGCUAAAAGUCGAGCUUCUAAUCCAACAGGCUGACCAAAACUGUUUCGUCCAACUUUGACACGCUCAACUGGAUCUAACUCGUAUAACUCUCUAAGUAGCGUACGUCCUCGACCUCUGCGCGUCCCACCAUUUUCAGCUACAAAUGGUAUAUUAUAAUAUAAGAAUUUGAAAAAUAAAUCAACUAUAACAGAAACACGCAUGUAAAUUAAAUGUAAAAUUACUUUGAACUUCUGUAGGAUCCUCAGCUGUAAUCGAAACAUUCGAAGAUCCAACUGCUGUCUGCUGUUCAGUACUAUUUGUUUCUGUCGUGUUUGGAUCAUUUUGAACAAUGCUUCCCCUUAGAAUUUUUCUUCUAGGCAUUUUAUCUGCAAUACACAUAAAAUAGUUGAUAACUUAAUAACUAAUUACAACAAUAACAACACAUAUAAAAUAGUUGAAAUAUAUAAUAAGACUAAGAUUUAAUUUAUGAUAUUACAUAUAAUAAAUCAAUCGUAAAAUCUUACUACAUCAUUAUUCAUAAAUAUCUUCAUCCGUAUCCUGACGAACCCAUUGAAAUUGUGCACUAGUACUAGGGAUAUUAUCGUUUAAGUUUUGUUCUGGAAAGGGCAAAGUUUCUGAUCUGUCGUCGAUGUUAUCUCUACUUCCACUGCCCAUGUCAAACAAAUCUCUAGGGAUGUUACGGAGUACAACGUACCAACCCUCAUUGACUGGAUCUUUUGAGUAAAAAACUUGUUUGACUUGAUAUGAGAAUACAUACGGCUCAUCUAUCAGUUGUUGUCCUGUGUGAAUCAAUCGGUCAAAGUUCACCAUUGUAAAACCAAAUUGAUCUUGCUUAAUUCCACGAGCUGUAUUAACAUCGGCCCAAUCACCUCGAAAUAAGACAACUUUCCCCGAGUCGUAGUAAUCCAACUCAAUUAUGUCAGUAAGAUGUCUGAAAUAUUCCACAUUUCCCUCGACAGGAUUAUUGUCCCUAGCUCUAGCAUAACUUGUAAUUGCAGAAUUGACAACUAUUCCAUAAUUUUGCGUUCUCCUCAACCUCUCGCGAUAUUUUGUAUGAAAUCUGAAUCUGUUGAUGAGGAACGCACUAUAUCUUUUAACCACUCGAUUUGGACCUUGGGAGAGCCAUUUAACUUCGUCGUUUACGCUCUUCCCACUCCAAACCUAUUGAAUGGAAAGUAAACUGAGUAAUUAAAAAUGUUAUGAGAAAGCAUUAUAAUUUGUAAGCGGAAGCUCCAACUGCAUACCGUUUGGCUUAACCAUUCAUAAAAAGAUUCUGCAAACAACUUAUUGAUAUCUCGAUGUUGUGUUCUUCGGGAGUGCGAACGAGUUUUCAAUAUUUUUUUGUACUCACUAUGUUAAAAAAAUGUGAUCUUUGUUAGAAGAUAAACAAUUUUUAAUUGGAUAAAUAUUUAUAAAAUUUGUAGAACUUACUUCCAUAAAGGUUCCAAUGAUUCAUGGUGAAACAGAACAUAUCGAUGUGCUUAUACCCACGAUAAAUGAUCUAAUUCUGCAAUUUCAACUUUGCCGAUUGGUUCUCCAAAACUUUGGAACAAAUAAUUAUCGGCUAAGUUAUAGUCCGUGAGUCCAGCAUUCCUAUUUGGUCUGUUCAACCUUGUUUCGACAUCUUCCAAAUAUCUUGAGCAGAAGGUCAUACAUUCCUCUGCCAAGUAGCCUUCAGCAAUCGAUCCGUCUGGAUAUCACUUGUUGCGGCAGUAAGACUUUAAUUUGGAUAGGAACCUAAACACAAUAUACAACAUUAUAAAAAGUUGUAACUAAAGGCAUAGAGGUGAAUGAAGGAAAAUUUUAAAAAUACUUCUUUAACACCUUUCUAUGGGAUACAUCCAUCGAUAGAAAACGAGUCCGGUAAGAAUUGCUUCGUGCGGGAGAUGAAUUAUCAAGUGAACCAUAAUGGUGAAGAAGGAAGGUGGGAAGAUUUUCUCCAUGUUGCAUAAGGUCAAAGCGGCUCGAUCCUGUACCUUCUGAAGUUCUUGAACAUCCAAAACUUUGCCACAAAUCGCUUUCAUUAUGUUGGAUAGUUCAAUGAUACAAGACGUCACCUUUUUAGACAUACAACAUCGUAGAGCAACUGGCAGUAAAUCUUGCAUCAAGAUGUGAUAGUCAUGUGAUUUUAGUGAAUAUAAUCUUCGAUCUUUAACACUAACACAUCGAGAUAUAUUUGAUGCAUACGCAUCCGGAACCUUUAUAUCCUUCAACACCAUGCAAAACAGUUCUUUCUUCGUCUUGGACAUUGAGAAAAUAGAAGGCGGCAACCAAUAUUUCCCAUUCGGAAGUGGAUUGGGAUGAAGAUCAGGCCGAAUUCCCAUUUGGAGUAAAUCAAGUCGGCUCUGAAGAUUGUCUUUUGAUUUUCCGUCGACGUUCAAAAUUGCACCCACAAUGUUCUCGCAGACAUUUUUCUCAAUGUGCAUAACAUCAAGAUUGUGUCGUAAAAGGUGAUGCUCCCAAUAAGGUAACUCAAAAAAAUACUUCUUUUUUUCCACAAGUCCGCCUCAUUAGGAUCGUCCUCUUCGUCGGAGCUUUCAUCGGCUUCAUCAUUUGAUCUUCUAUUUCUCUGCGUGUUUGGCGGUUGGUUCAUCUUCCCAUAAAUGAAAUUCAUAUCUUCCAACAUGAACAAGAUUUCAGAGCCAUUGGUCUGGGAAGGAGCUUCUCUGAACUCUUCAGUGCCGUCAAAUACAGAACUCUGAAAUCUAAAUCUAUGAUUUUUCGAUAACCACCGAUGAUGCCCCAUGUAAGAAAACUUCUCCCCAUUGUACAACCAUUGCGAGCAUGUUUGUGCAACACAAGAAGGACACGCAUAACGACCCUUAGUACUCCAACCGGAUAAAUUGGCAUAAGCGGGAAAGUCAUUAAUGGUCCACAUCAAAGCUGCACGUAAAUUAAAGUUCUCUUUUCUCAGCACAUCGUAUGUCUCGACACCAACCCAUAAUUGUUUUAACUCUUCAAUAAGUGGCUGUAAAUAAAUGUCGAUAUCAUUCCCGGGCCCUUUCUCUCCAGGGAUAAUCAUAGAUAAGAUAAGGGAAGAUUGCUUCAUGCAAAUUGACGGAGGCAGAUUAUAAGGAACAAGCACUACUGGCCAAGUACUGUAGGCAGUGCUCAUGAUCUUGAAAGGAUUAAAUCCAUCAGAUGCUAGCCCAAGCCUCACACUCCUAGGAUCGCUUGCAAAGCUUGGAAAUUUAUUGACAAAUACUUUCCAAGCUAAAGAAUCUGCCGGAUGCCUUAGUAAUCCACCAUCGAUUCGUCCAUCAUGGUGCCACGUCAUUGACUCCGCUGUCUUCGAUGACAUGAAAAGCCUUUGAAGCCUUGGUAUCAACGGAAAAUACUGCAAAAUCUUAACUGGCUUCUUCCUCGACUGUGCAUCAUUUUCAUCGUCGUUCCCAUCUUCUGCGUUUUUAUUUAUCCAACGGGAUUGGCCGCAUACAUGACAGCACUGUUGGUUUUUCCGAUCGCCCCAAUACAACAUGCAGUCAUUUGGGCAACUAUGGAUUUUGUUAUACCCAAUGCCUAAAUCUUUUAUCAUUUUCUUCAUAUCUUUGCAUGACUGAGAGAUUUUUGCAAACGGAAAUAUUUCUCUCAAAAACAUUAAUAGCAUUGUCAACGAGUUUCCGGUCCACCCUCCCAAACAUUUUAACUGAAAAAGACAAACACAGAAGGCCAUUUUUGAAAAUUUUUAUCCCUCAUACAGUUCUUCGUUCAUGUCAUUAAGUAGAGCGUAGAACUUCGCCGCUUCUCCAUUUGGCUCUUCAUGAGGUACACUACUUCCCGGUUCGGUAAAAGCAGUUCCACCAAUAUUACAAUCAUCAGAUGCCAUAAAAUCCCCUGAGAACGAUUGCACACCAUGAUUGUGCAUAUUAAAUGCAUCCCGCAACAUACCUUCCAUGUCAUUCCCUCUAUCAGACUGAUGGUAAGCAGUACCAGGAUAAGAUACAUCCAUCGUUGAAGAGGAAGUACUAAGCGGGCAUUCUCCAUGAAAAAGCCAUUGCUUAUAACCCUUAACAAACCCAUCAACAAUUAGAUGCUCGUAUACAACCUCACGAUAAUGCCAAUUUAUGUUGACACAUUUCUUACAUGGGCAAAGAAUCAUGUUCUCUUGGCUUGCAUAUUGAAAUGUAAAAUUUAGAAAACUCUGCACCCCAUUUCGAUAACCGUUGCUAACCCUUGACAAAUUCAUCCAAGAUCGGUCCAUUUCUUAAUUCUUGAAGUCUGACGUUGACAAUAAUUUGCUCGGGUUAGUCAAAACGCCAGUUAUAACUAUAAAUGAAUUUCAAAAAUUUGUGAUAUGAUAUAUUUUUAUGUAUUAUGUAAGUUAUGACAGUUCUGUAUUAUGUAUUAUGUAUGCCACAUGUAAGUAAUGUAAGCUAUGUAAGUAAUGUAUUAUGUAAGUUGUGUACUACAUCAUUAUGUGAGUUGUGUAUAAUGUAUGUUAAGAAGGUUAUGUAUAAUGUAAGUAAUGUAAGCUAUGUAAGUAAUGUAUUAUGUAAGUUAAGAAGGUUAUGUAUAAUGUAAGUUACUUAAUUUAUGUAAGUUAUGUAAGUUAUUUAAUUUAUGUAAGCUAUGUAAUUUAUGUAAGUUAUGUAAGUUAUGUAAGUUAUUUAAUUAACUUAAUUUAUGUAAGUUAUGUAAGAUAUUUAAUUAAUGUAAGUUAUGUAAGUUACUUAAUUUAUGUAAGUUAUGUAAGUUAUUUAAUUUAUGUAAGUUAUGUUAAGUUAUUUAAUUUACUUAAUUUAUGUAAGUUAUGUAAGAUAUUUAAGUUAUGUAAGUUAUGUAAGUUAUUUAAUUUAUGUAAGUUAUGUAAGUUAUUUAAUUUACUUAAUUUAUGUAAGUUAUGUAAGUUAUUUAAUUUAUGUAAGUUAUGUAAGUUAUGUUAAGUUAUUUAAUUUACUUAAUUUAUGUAAGUUAUGUAAGAUAUUUAAUUUAUGUAAGUUAUGUAAGUUAUUUAAUUUAUGUAAGUUAUGUAAGUUAUUUAAUUUACUUAAUUUAUGUAAGUUAUGUAAGUUAUUUAAUUUACUUAAUUUAUGUAAGUUAUGUAAGUUAUUUAAUUUAUGUAAGUUAUGUAAGUUAUGUAAGUUAUGUAAGUUAUUUAAUUUACUUAAUUUAUGUAAGUUAUGUAAGAUAUUUAAUUUAUGUAAGUUAUGUAAGUUAUGUAAGUUAUUUAAUUUACUUAAUUUAUGUAAGUAAUGUAAGAUAUUUAAUUUAUGUAAGUUAUGUAAGUUAUUUAAUUUAUGUAAGUUAUGUAAGUUAUGUAAGUUAUUUAAUUUUUGUAAGUUAUGUAAUUAAUGUAAGUUAUUUAAUUUGUGAUACCUAAACUAUUAUUCAAUUAUGAUUUUUAGUCUAAAUGUCAUAACAGGGUUUAAAAAAAUUGUUCGCUAUUUUAAUAAUCACAUACUGUAAUGUGACAUUUUUAAUUUCAUGCAAACUAUAUAUGUCUUUUAAUUUAAUUAUCUUAAAUCAUUAUUAUUUUUCCCAUAUUAUCUUUAUUACUAUCAAUGCAUCUUAUCCACAAUCUAAAAUGUGGAUAUUAAUUUUAAAAAAAUUAAUAAAAUUUAAGGUAAAUAAAUUAUAUAAUUCCUACCAUAUAACUAUGUUAGGAACAUCUUCGAUUAAUUAUAUCGGAAUAUUAAACAAAAAUCAUUCAAACUUUAUUUAUCAUUCAAAAUAUACGAAUACAUGCGAAAUUUUGAAUACAAUAAUAUUAUAUUAGAGAUAUGUACCUUAUAAUCGAGAUUAAAAUCGAGAUAUAUUGUGCAUAUUAAAAGUUCUCCAGGUCAUACUCUAUGCAGUUAUAAUUGAAGCAUGCCUUAAAAUUUUUAAUGUAAGAGAUUGUUGUCCCAAUUUUGUAGAAAUUUAAGACGGUUAAAUUUGUUAUCAUUGUUAGAGAUUAGAGAUAUGUAUUAGAUCAAUAAAAAAGUCUCGUGUCAGCUUUUCAUCUCUCAUUUAACAACAAUUAAUCGCAUUUCGUGCUAAAGUAUUUAAUUUCAAAAAGUUUAGUAAUUUCAAAAUAGAACAAAUAGAUUAGUCACUAUUUUUAUACUUUACAAAAAAAUCUAACACGCUGUAGCUUUUCGUAGGACACUUUUACUCUGUCCGCAUUGUGAAAGGAAAGCUCCUUAGCAAAAACAAAUAAUAUUAUGAAAUAACAUUUGGACCAAAGACAUAUAAUACAUUUGGAUACAAUUAAUUUAGACCAAUUAAUUUUUUACGUUGUGCACCAAAGGCAUAUAAUAUAUUUGGUAAUACGUGACAGUCCAUUUGGGUUCUCUUAAAAUAAGCCAUUACCUAUAAGCUCAACUGUGUCAUUACAUAACAAUGUUCAAAACACUCAUAUUUUACAAUGAACCACUAGCAAUGGCUACUGCUAUCAACAAACAAUGCUCAUCUUUUUUUUUAACAGUAGGCCAUAUUUUUUUAACAACCAUGUGCCUAAAGCUUCAUGUUUUUUUAAAAACCACAUCCCCUCAAUUUGCAACUUUUAUCAUAAAGCAAAGCUCAAAUUUAUCAUAAAAUGAUGCUCAAAUUAUGCAAGUUAUGAAAAACAAUAUUGCAUAAUGUAAGAACAAAAGGCAGAAAAUUGAUAUUAUACCUGAUAACUUGUUAUUAGAAUCUAACCGCAGCUUCGAAGUGGUCAAGUUUUCAAUAUUUGAUGGCCUUUCACCUAGAAAUAUAAAUAAAUUGGUCAAAAUAGCUCCAUUCCAUUGCUUUCUGUCCAACCUAAUUCUAAGCUUAUUCUGGCUAAAUUUUAACAACACUAAAUUCAAAUGGCAAUUUUAGGUAAAAUUCCAAUUUUAAUCCCUCUGCAGUGUUUGAAAAACCUUUCGAUACAAGAUAGGGCCGUUCUCACAUGAAAGAAGAGAAGCUAGCAUAACUUCUAUUUUUUCUCUUUCUAGAGGAGGAAAGAGAAAUAGAGUCUUAUGGGGGGAGGGGGAACAUGUGGGCGCAUUUAUAAAAAUCCUCCACUGCAUCCAGAAUCACAAGUGGAACACUAAGCAGGGGUGGGAAGGUAGCGAACUACUGAAAAACAUUGAUAUUUAAUAUUUAAUAUAAUUAUUUGUAUUGCUAAAAUAAAUAAUUAACACCGUAAAAUACCGAUUAAAAUACUUUGGCUAUGAUUUUCAUCGAAAGCCAUGAAAUUAUUGCCAUGUAAAUGCAACUGAAAAAAAUCGUCAGAAACUAAUGCAUCAUUUUUUACCGAUGCAAGAGGUAUACAUAGCUUAUCUGUUACAUACUGCACACUUUAAAAGUAAUUAAAUUAAAUUACAACAAUUUAAAAUAUCGUAAUUAGGGCAGGAAGAACAAGAAGCAAGUACGGACGGAUAUUUUGCAGCAGAAGAUAUCACGAAAACUUACCGAUUGUUGUGGCAGAGGAGACCGACGGAGGGAGACGGUGAUGCGCCAGAGGAAACGGCAACGUUGCAAGAGGUUGGGUUUGGGGAAAUGUGGAUUAGGGGAAAUUUCUCAAUAUUUCAGGGAGAAAUGGAUUUUGGGGAUCAGUCACAAUUGGUGGGGUUUAAGUUUCGGUUAAAUGUAUGGGGCAGAAGAGACCGACGGUGAUGCACCAGAGGAAACGGCAACGUUGCAAGAGGUCGGCUUUGGGGAAAUCUGGAUUAGGGGAAAUUUAAGGAUUUAGGGGAGAAUGGGAUUUUGAGGGAUAAGUCACGAUUGGGACUCUAAGUUUCGGUAAAAUGUCUGGGAAAAAAACGAUGACAUUUUCUAUGAAAUUGAAAUCAUUUGCGGCACUUGACAAUAAGCGCCACUAAUAUCAGUACAAACGCAGCCGUUUAACACACAUUAGAGUAAAACUUGUGGCGCUUAGAGUAAAAACGCCACUAAUAACACGGACAAAACGGCAUCGUCAUAAGAUAACAUUAAACAUUUUUGCGGCGCUUUAUCUAAAGCGCCACUAAUAAAAAUAGGAAACGGCGUCGUUUCCUCAGCUCGUAAUAAAUAUUUGUGGCGUUUUUAAACUGCGCCACUAAAAGAAAACAACAAAACGGCACCGUCUUCAUUACAGUUAAAGGAAAUUUAUGGCGUUUCUUCGUAAAACGCCGAUAAUAUAUCACCUUUAGCGGCGUUUUUCAUAUGCGCCACUAAUAACAAAGACAAAACGGCACCGUUAUAAGAUAACAUUAAACAUUUUUGCGGCGCUUUAGCUAAAGCGCCACUAAUAAAAAUAGGAAACGACGUCGUUUCCUCAGCUCGUAAUAAAUAUUUGUGGCGUUUUUAAAUAUGCCACUAAAAGAAAACAACAAAACGGCACCGUCUUUAUUAUAGUUAAAGGAAAUUUGUGGCGUUUCUUCGUAAAACGCCGGUAAAAUAUCACUUUUAGCGGCGUUUUUCAAAUGCGCCACUAAAGGAAAACAACAAAACGGCAUCGUCUUUGUUACAGUUAAAGGAAAUUUGCUGCGUUUCUUCAGAAAACGCCGAUAAUAUAUCACCUUUAGCGGCGUUUUUUAUGAAGCGCCGCUAAUGCCUUCCUCCAAGAUUGAAGUCAAUUUGAUCCAAAAUUAAAACAAAAUUUAUAAAAUGAAAUUAUUAAUUAAUAAAAAAAUGGGAGAAUGAUGCAUUUUUAAAAAAUAAAUUCAUGUUCUAAAAAACAAUUUUACAUCAAUAUAUAUUUAUAUUGAAUAAAUAUAAAUAUUUAUGUAUGCAAUAUGUACAUGAAAAAUGAUGUUAAUUAUAUCAAUAAUUGUGUUAAUAUAUUUUACAAUAUUUAGAUUAAACUAAAGUUCAUGUAUACAAUUGAACAUUAAACUGUUGUUCAUGUACGCUUUUGGGAUUUAACCCAUUUUGAUAUAUAUAUUUUUUGAAUUAAUAUUUUAUAUUUAUCUUAUUUACAUUUAUAUUCUAAAAAUCUAACCCCUAAACCCAACAACCAAACCCCAAAAUCCGACUGUCAAUAUACCAUAAAUCUUAAAUCAUAAAUCCUAAACCCUAAACCUAAAACUCUAAACUCUAAACUCUAAACCGUAAACCCUAAAUCGUAAACCUAAACCAUAUUUUCUGGAAUUCGUGUGGCCAGUGUUAGUGUAGUACAAGACAUAUAUUUUAUAUUAUUAUAUUAUAUAUAUGGCUGUAGUACAAAAUGGCAUGAAUCCGAGUAAAAUCCAAAUGUUCUUCAAUUUCCAAACUAAACCCUAAAACCCAAAACUCAAACCUUAAACCCUAAACUCAAUCUCUAACACAUAAACACUUAACCCAAAUUAAUAAAUAGUAUACCAUAAACCCUAAACCCUAAACCAUAGACAUUAAAUCUUAAAUUUUAAACCCUAAAACCUAAUAAAAUAAAACGAUAGAUUUUUCUCAACACUUUGAUGCGUUGAAACCCUAACUGUAACCCCUAAAUCCCCUAACCCUAACCCCUAAAGCAUAACACCUAACCCUUAAACUUUAAAUCCCAAACCCUAAAUCCAUACCCAAGACUACUCCUUAAACUCUAAACCGUAUACUAUAAAGAUAAUUAAUUCAAUAUUUUAAAAUUAAUACUAUCUCUUUUACAAUUAUAUAAGAAAUUAUUUAAUAUAUAAUCUAAAAAAAUCAGUAAUGUACCAAAAAACUUUAAAAUUAUUUUAAAUAAUAGUAUUUUAAUUUUUCCAUUUUUAACGAAUAUUUUAAAAUAUUUUAAACCCCUAAGCAUUAGCGGCGCUUCCCAAAAACGCCACUAAAUCCCCAAAAAGCUCCGAAAACGGCACCAUUCGGCUUAGUUUUAUUGCGGCACUUUCUGAACAACGCCGCUAAAGGAAAGCAUUAGCGGCACUUUCUUAGAAAAUGCCGCUAAAUCCACUGAAAGUUAAGAAAACGGUGCCGUUGGGCACCCCAAGCAUUAGCGGCGCUUCAUUAAAAACGCCGCUACAGCCUCGAAAGAUCUGAAAACGGUGCCGUUGGACAUAUUUUUUUUUGCGGCGCUUCUCUAAAAACGCCGCUAAAUCCCUAAACAUUAGCGGCGCUUUUGUCAAAGCGCCGCUAAAUCCCUAAACAUUAGCGGCGCUUUUGUCAAAGCGCCGCUAAUUCCACGAAAGCUGAGAAAACGACACCGUUUGGCUUAGGGUUUUUAGUGGUGCUUCCCCAAAAGCGCCGCUAAAUCCCAAAAACUACGGAAACGGCACCGUUUGGCUUAGGAUUAUUAGUGGCGCUUAAUUAAAAACGUCACUAAAUCCCCAAAACCUCGGAAACGGUGUCAUUGGGCUUUGGUUUUUGCGGCGCUUUCUGGAAAAUGCCACUAAUUCUUAUUUUCAGCAGCGUUUUUCAUUUUGCGCCGCUAAUGAUCUAACUUUAGCGGCGUUUGUCAUCUAAACGCCGCUAAAACCGCCGCUAAAAGCCUAUAUUGGUGUAGUGGAAGGGUCAUUUGUUGAGUAGAGACAAACUCGACAAUGAGCUUCAUUUGGAUAGCAAGGCGGAUAGGCAAGCUUUCAUUUUGAUAGCAUCAAAGAAACGAUACAAAAGGUGUCGCUAUUGUAAAAAGUUAGGUCACGUCAAAGCAAAUUGUUAUAAACUGCGAAAUAAAAGAGCUGCUAAGAGUAACGAGGAAGAUGUAGCUGGUGCUAACUUGGCCGAUGAAAGCGGUGAUGAUUUCUUGUUAGUGUCAACGAGCGAUAACUCCAAGCUCACGUCCGAGUGGAUCCUAGAUUCGGGAUGUUCUUUCCACAUGUGUCCCAAUAGAGAAUGGUUCUCCACAUAUAGUUCGGUUGAAGGUGGAGUUGUGCGCAUGGGAAACGAUUCAUCUACUAAGGUAAUUGGUAUUGGUACUGUUAAAAUUAGGAUACAUGAUGGGACGAUUAGGACACUCUCAGAUGUCAAGUAUGUACCUGAUUUAUGAAAAAAUCUCAUCUCCUUGAGUAUUUUAGACUUGAAAGGAUGCAGAAUCAAUAUCGAGUCGAGCGACAUUAAAGUAUCUCAUGGAGCUCUCAUUUUGUUAAAAGGUAAAAGAACUGACAGUCUUUAUAUUCUGGAAGGUUCUACAAUGACUGUUGAAAUCGAACGUCCCUCGUUCGUUACAAAGUCGAAGUCAACUCAUUUGAAGCGAAGACAACUUGGUCAUAGGAGGGAAAAAUGUAUGAUCAUUUCGUUGAAGAGAGGUUCUCUUUUGGAUACAGGUUUUGAAAAGUUAGGGCACUAUGUUCGUGAAAAUUAGACCCGGGUUAGUUUUGAUUUGGCAGUGUACAAGUCGAAGGCUAGAAGUCUUCCAGUUUAUAAGCACAGAUUCGACUCAGUUAAUUCCCUGCAUAGUUCAGGAUAGGCUCAUAGCGAGCUUUGGAAAAGAUGGCGUUGUAGAAAUAUGAGUCAAGGUGGAGAUUUGUUAAGUAUGACUCCUAUUUCAGUCAAAUUUUAGAAGUAAUCUCUAGUUAAACUCUGUUUAUUUUUUUUAAGCAAACACUGAUUAGUUUAAAUUAUUAUUUUUUAUUUGACAUAUGAAUUUAGCCUAUAAAUAGGCUAAUUUACAACCUUAGAAAAAAACACCCAUUAGAUAUUAUAACUCAUAAUACAUUUAGAGAAUUUUGUGUUUACAUUGAGGGUUCUUUGUUUUUUGGUUUUUGAGGUUUAGUAUUUAUCUCCAUUUUUUUUUACUCUUCGUUUCUUUUGCCAUUAUAGUAAAAUUAUCUUUGCUCGUGGUUUUUUAUCCUCUUUGGAGGAGUUUUUCCAUAUUAAACUUGUGUGUUCAAUUUCUCAAUUUCUUCUGUUAUUUUUACUUGUUUCUUACUUAAUCGGGUAAAUCACUAACAUAAAUGAUAAAACUAACAUAUUUUAAUCUCAUUCUUAAUUCUUUUUUUGAUGAUUAUUUAUGCAAAUUGGUGAAUUUGAUGCUCCUAACCCCUUUAAUUCAUGUUCUUAUACUUAGGUGAGCAUUUGGGAGCAAAAUGAGCCAAAAUCAGAGAAAAGUGCAUAUUUCAGAAGUCACACAAGCUGGACACACGCCCAUGUGCCAGCUGGAAACAUGAAAAUAUACACACUUUUUCAUGCCCUUUUUAACUCAAAUUCAUGCAGUUUCGGUAAAAUUCUUGUUGAAAAAUAUAUAAUAAUUAUAAAAUAAUUAAAUUGUACUUCAAUUAUUAACAUGUUGAAUCUUCAGUAAUUUUAUAAUAAAUUUUGAUUAACUUUUAUUUAUUUUCGACAGAUUUGCACAAAUGGUGAAAAUUAGCUCGGCAGAAAUUGCUAGAAGCACAAAAUCGAGAAGCGAUUUUGAAACAUCAAGGUGAAUUAAUUGUUCAGCCUAAGACGGUCCAAAUUAUGAAUAUUAAUUCAUAAUAUAAUUAUUUUUAAUUUUAAUUCAAUUUGUGUUGGGUUAAAUAAUAAUUACUAAUUAAUUAUGAAAAGAGGCCCAGUUGAGCUGGAUCGAGAAAAUCGAUCCAAUCGAGCACUGGGCUGCCCAAAUUUGUCUCACAUGAUGAUCCAAUCAGCUUGUUUGGCUGAUUAUUUGGCUAUAAUCAUGUCUAUGAAUACUUGUGAUGUUGAUAUGUUUAAUUCAAUUAAUAUGGUGUAAAUUUAAUUCGUGCUAGGUUAAUUGCAUUUCGUCCACUUAAGUUAUUAAAAUUAUGUUUGUGUUGUUGUAGGUCUUGGUAAACUGUUUGAUUAAGUAAAACCAUGACUAAGUUAUUCUUGCAUUAUAAUUGUAAGGUGACUGAUGAAUUAAUUAUUUAAAAGUGUUGAAAUUGUAAUUAAUUGACACAAUACUUAAUCGGUGCAUGUUUAAUCUUCUAAGGUAUUAGUCAAUACAUUAAUCUUGCAUAACUUGCAAGAUUAUUGUGAUUAAACUGUUUCAAGGUAGGAAUACAUUGUUGCCUCACUUAAUCUUUUAUGUGCUUAUGAAGAUUGGUUAAUUGUUUGAAUUGGCAUUGGAAAAUGUUCAAAAGAUUAGUUAAUUUAAUAGGUAUGUAUGAGCAGUAGUUAGCAAAUUACUGAGUUGUCGUGAAUUUAUUCGUAACAACAUUAACAUGAGUUUAGUAAUUCUAUGUUAAAUUUUAUUUUAUUUUAUUUUACUUAGUUAAAUUUUUGUUUGAAAUAAUUUCCUCAAAUUUAAAAUAUUUUUCUUCACCAAAGUGUUUUUAAUUGCAUUCAAAAAUAAUUUUUUUCACAGUCCCUGUGGGUACGAUAACUUGACAUUUGCUUGUCACUUUAUUACUUGUUGCGAUUGUGUACACUUGCACAUUUCCAUUGUUCCACCAGCCCAUGUCGAUUUCUCAACCUGCUUUCCAAACAUGCAGAAAAACGCAAUUUUUAGGCUUUCUGAGCAUUCUAAUGUCUAUAAAUACCAAAUAGAAUAAGAGAUAUGGGAGUCAUCAGAGAAUAUCAAGAAAACAACUCGAAGAACACCAUCGGAACCAACUCUGAAGUGGAUUUCCAUCAAGAUCGAAGACCUCCUUUUAAUUUCCUUUGAAGUUUUUAUGAGUUUCUUUAUUUCUUAUGGUUUUUCUAACUUUGAGAUGAAACAUAUGAUGAAUUCUAUUAUUUAAUUUAUGUUUUACAUGAUAAAUACUUGAUUCUUGUUCUCAAUUAUGUGUUCCUAUUUCUUGUUAUAGUAUUUUUUGGAUAUUAAUUCAUGUUUAAUAUGCUUAAUUCAAUGGAGGAAAAGUCCCUAUUUAAAAGUAGAUAUAGCAUAAUUUAGUGGAGUUGCAUGCAAUCCUAGAAAUAGAACGACAUAAAUCUACUGGAUUAGAGUCAAAUCUAAUAGGAGAAUCCAUAGAUCGAGUUAAUGUGAUGAUAUGGGUUUUAAUUAGAAAGAGAUUUCAAUUAAUCAAUGUAGAGUUGGUUACUUUUACUCUCGGAAGAGAUAUUAACAUAAUUUAGGGAUUUCUACAGAUCAAGACACCAAGUGAAUAAAUCGUUUAAUUUAAAGUCAUAAUAAUAGAUGAAGUCUAAGUGGAUUCUUUCCUAGGUAUUGUCUCUCUCAUUGGUUAAUAUUGGAUUAUUUUCUUGAUUCAUUCUCUGUUUAGUUCUUAGUUAAUUUAGUUUAGUAAUUUUAGCUUAAAACCUAUCACUCUAAUUUGUCGGCUAAAUAAUAAGAAAACAGUAAUUACUAAUAAUUUUAGUCCUCCUAGAUAGGUGCGCUUGCCUUAGUUGUAUUUUUAGUUAGUCAAAUGAGACACAUCAAUAUACAAGUUGAAUUUCAAGUUAACAGUUUUUAGUAUGUUGAGUGAAGUGACUGUAGCUAUGAUCAAACUCUUAAAGAGACUUUCAAGUCCUUCAAGAUACCAGGUUGUGAAAUGCCCAAAUGGGAGUCUAGAAUUUAUAUUUCAUGCAAUCAAUAGAUGUAUAUGAUAAACAACAAAUAUAUAUACAAGGAUGAAAGUUACUAUACUAGGCAUAGAAUAAACAACAAAUGUAUAUGAUAAAGAAAGAUUAGAUUCGUUCAGAAAAGUUCUUUUAAUUUAUGAUAUAUGAAGUAUACAUAUAUUUGUUUUACCAAUAUACAAGGAUGUACAACAAAAUUUUUUAAAGUUGUUUUCUAUUGCCAUAUGUUAUAACUUUCUGCAGCCUAAUGGCUAAGGAUGUUGAGAACAAAAACUCUAGUUUUGACCAAGAGCUUCAACAAGCACCCCACUCCAUCUUUAAGAUCUUGAAUGCUUGGCAUCAUCAAUGCUCAUUUUACAUGAUUUUCUGGUCUUGUUACCAAUAAGAGUGCACAAAACUGCAUCCACUUUCUCGAAUUCAUUGGUUUUCGUUGCUUCUCCCUCGUGUGUUAUGCAUUUGCAGCUCAUCAACUUGGACAGAAAAGACCAAUUGGUCAAUUUUGAUUCCAUCUCUGUGCCACUGAUAUGAGAAAAGAGGGAUUCAAACACUGUGAAUGCAACUCCUUGUACCUCUCACAACAUGCUAAAUGCGGCCUCAGUAUCGUUUUCUAACAGAGUAAAGCCACAUUUACAAGCUUUUAGAGACUUGUUUAUUAACUUCUUUGCUUUCUUGCUUGAAGCCAAGUAUUCCUUAGCUUUAUAUAUGAAACCAGCUUCAUCGCCUCUUCUUCUUCUCAAAAUUGAUGGAAGUUGUUGGGUAUCUUCCUUGGCCUGUAAUAAAGCAUCCUUGACCACACCAAAAACACCCAAGAGCUUGAGAGACCCAUUCAACAACUUGUUAAUCGGUUUUUUAUUAUAUUAUUGUGCUAAUGAUUUUUGUCUAAGUGGCAGUUGAAGCAAAUUAUCAACCAACUCAUAAGAUCUAUAAGGUUGCUUAGUUUUUGGCUCAUUUUAUUUCUAUAUGAUAUUGGAAUUAUAAUAAUAAUGAAUUUUUUCAAGAAUUAAGGAGUAAGAGGAUUUAAAAGGCUAAAGUUUUUACACCAGAUUUUAUUACAUUGUUUGUAGAAGGAAAAUAUCAAAAUAUAAAUAAUAAGAUAAAUUAUUGUUAUAUUAUAGAAUUUGAUCCAUUUACAUUUGAACAGAUAAUGAAAUCUCAAGAUUCUACUUUUUGAAAAGAGGCAAUAAAUAAUGAGAUAGAUUUAAAAAUGGAAAAUUAUAAUUAGAUUUUAGUUGAUCUUCCGCAAUUUUCCAAAUCAACUGGUUGUAAAUUGAUCUUCAAAAAUAAAAUAAAGUUCGAUAAAACCAUUGAUAAAUUUAAAGUAGCGUUGGUAGGCAAAGGUUUUAUACAAAAAUAUAGAAUUGAUUGCUUUGAUACCUAUGACGAUUAAACUCUUAAUAUCACUUACCUGAAUGUACAAUUUGGUUAUUCACCAAAUAGAUGUUAAAAUUGUACUUUUAAAUGGUGAACUAGAAGAGGAAAUGUACAUGGAACAAUCAGAAGGAUUUGUUAUUCCAAAACAAAGGUAUAAAGUAUGUAAGCUUGUUAAAUCUCUAUAUUGACAUAAACAAGCACUAAAACAAUGACACCAAAAGUUUGACAAAGGUGUUCUAGCUAAUGGUUAUAAAAUAAACGAAUCUUAUAAGUGCAUAUAUAGCAAAGUUAGACAAAGUUGUUCUAGUCUAAAGGAUCCAUCCAACAACUCAUUAACAAACCCCUUAUUUUGUUCUUAAGUUAAUUCUCGAUGGGAAUAAGGGGCAAUUGUAGCAACUUAUCCACACAAUAAUACGAACCAUGAAGGUCGUUUAGUUUAUGGCUUAUUGAUGAUGGCAUGUAGCUUCGAAAUCCCCUCAUCUGUUCAAAUGUUAAUCAAUCUCUAAAACAACUGUGUAUGGUCUGGAUGGCAGAUGGAAGCUAUUAGAAUGAGCGUGGUGAAUUGUUUGGGCUGCCAUUUUUCUUUCUUCUUCAGGGAAAUAGCCUAAUGGUUGAAUGUUUCUACCUAUUAUUUGCUAUGUUGAAGUGAGCAUCAACUCCAUUUUAUAUAUACAUCAGGUCAUAGAGACAAAAGAAAUCUCAAGUGCUUCGUUAAUAAAUUAUUUAUAUCUUUUUCUUUCAAUUUAGAUCUCGAUAUGAGCACUUUUCAGCACUAUUUAUGCGAAAUGUCUUCCCUAAAAUAUGUUGGAACAUUUUCAAAUAUUAAUAUUGUUCCAAUAACUAUAAAUGAAAAGAUGGAAUUAAAUCAAAAGUUAUAACUAUUGGUUAUUAAUCAAGAUUUCUAACUAUUCAUAAUAAUGAAUUAUAACUAUUCAAGUUGUAUCUCUUACUAUAAUAAUUAUAUCUAUUUCAGAGAUAUUAGACGAAUAAUUAUGUUUUUUUAAGAUUUAAUUAUUUAUAUAAGACACCUAUUAAAAGUUAUGUCUCUAUGAAAAGAUAUUUGAAUUCCUAUAAAUAAAAGUGAGAUUUCAUUUGAAGGAUAUACCAAAAAGUUAUUUCAAUUCUUCUUCCAUUUUCUAUUAUUAUUAGAUUGUUCUAUAAAGAAUUAUUGCAGAAAUUCUUUAUAGUGCUUAAUGGACUAUUGUCGUCAGUGUAAAACGCAAAUAGUCACUAAGUUUCAUUCUAUCCUCAAGGUCCAUUUGGUUGAAACUCAUUUUCACACUGAGUAUAGGUGGGGAUGAAUAGAAACUUAAAUGUAGUGGCUUGAUACAUGUCUUAGAGCCUUGUCUUAUUGACUCGAGUUAUUGUUCGUGUUCCAUUCAUGUGUUCUAGCUUUUCUUCAUCGAAGUUCCGCACUAACAAUUUUAAGGUUCUACUCCAUUUUCACGAUGGCUAAUGCAACACAUGAAAGUGCAACACUAAGGGAUUUGGCUUUCAAUUUUUUCAAGCUUGACCAGUUUGAUUGUGACAAUUUUCGAUAAUGGCAAAAAAGGUGCAAUUCUUACUAUCUAAUUUGAAGUUUACUUAUGUUUUGGAUACUCCAGGACCAGAAGAGAAUGGAAACAAAUCUCUUGUUGCAACAUGAGAAAGGAAAAAAUGAGACAAUGUUAAUUUCAUGUGGAUAAGUCACAUAAUGGAUGAUUUAUUUGAUGGUUUAUUCUAUAGCUGCCAAAAAGAGGUCACUGCUAAGGAAUUAUGGGACAAAUAGGAGAUAAGAUACUUGAUCGAAAAUGAUACAAGUAAUUUUUUUUUCAUUUCAAUAAUUAUCAAAUGAUUGAUGAUCGUUUUGUUAUGGAACAAUUUUGUGAUAUUGAAAAAAUAUUGAAUCAAUUUAACCAAUAUGAUAUGAAAAUGAAAAAAAAAUUCACUGUUGUAUCUUCGAUUAUAGACAAACUUCAUUUAUCUUGGGAAGACUUUAAAAGAAUAACUAACCAAUUAUUACCUUUCGGCCUCUAACUAAUUAAUUAAUCCACCAAUACACACUUAUCUUUCGACCUCAAUUUCUUGAUCGGGAUAACUUAUGGUUUACUCAGAAAACUUAUCUUUCGACCUCGUUUAUCCUAAAUUACUUCUCAGGGUCGUUAAUCCUAAGGUUUAAUCACACAUAAUAUAAACCAACUAAUUUGAAAACAAACAUUAAUUCUUCCUCUAAUUAUUCCCACAUCUGAUCAUUAAUCUCCCUAAGAAAACUAACCACUCAUAGAUCUAGAUGCAAUUUUCCCUAAUUUCAUAUUAAAAAUGCAAAGAAAAUAAUUAAAUAGACAAAGGGAAUAAAGAAAUUGAUCCAUUUUGAUAUCGAUUUGUGCACGAAAGCUAAAAUUCCUUUGACAGUUACGAAGAUUGUGUUGAUUCUAAUUGAAAACCAAAAAGAAAUGAAUAAAAACGCAAUAAAGAAAAUAUUGGAUCCAAAUCGAAUCCAAGAGAGAACAAAGGAAACGUUAUAUUUUUGAAUAAAAAUACUAAAUUGAAAUAAAACUAAAAAUAAAAAUAAAUUCCUAAAAAUCUAAUCUAAAAUGGCUCACUCGGCCAAGCCUCCAAACCUAGGCUAAACAUCAAUAUUUAUAGCUAAAUGUUAUGUCCUAAUUAGGUCAAUUAGAAACCCUAAAGCUAAAUAAGAUGUGUUGCACAAACGAAAAGACCCUUGACUUAAAAUUGCAUAUCGUUGCUCCGGUGUCGCGACACUGGACUUUGUGGGUGAUUUCUUUGGCUUCAAAGUGUGGUGUUGCGAUACCACAUGCUGGUCUUGCGACGCUGUCAUCGUACUUUGCAUUCUUAGCCCAAAAACAGUGUCCUACACACUAGAUCGACAUGUUAUUCCUUCCCUAGGCCUAUUUUGGCUCGUGAUAAGUGCUAAAAGUAACAUAUUUUUACCUCAUUUUUAAUGUAUUUUUGGGUGAUUAUUUGAUGUCAAUUGUGAAUUUUAUGUUCCUAAUCCUUUAAAUUCAUGUUUUUAUGCUUAAUAAAGCACUUGGGAUUAAAAGCAGUACAAAAUGAGCAGAAAUCAAAAAAUUGAAACAAGCUAUAGGAUUCUAUCAUUGGAUGUUUUUAUUUUCAAGCAUGAGCUAAUUUUAUAAAUACCUAGGGAGAUAAAUCCUAUGAUGGAUUCUAUCAUUUGAUUUUUAUUUUAUGCAAUAGAGGCUUAGUUUCUUAUUCUCUAUUAUGUAUGCUAAAUUCUUGGUUUGAUAUUUCUAGACUACAAAUCCAUGUUUGAUGUGCUUAAAUUAGAGGAGGAAUAGACCCAGUUUAAUAGUAGAUCUUGAGUAAUUGAGUGGAGUUGCAUGCAAUCCUAGAAAUAGGAUGACAUAAAUCUACCGGAUUAGAAUCAAAUCUAAUAGGAGAAUCCAUUGCAUGAGGUAAUGUGAUAAUAGGGUUUUUAAUUAGAAAGAAAUUUCAAUUAAUCAACGUAGAGUCAGCUAUUUUUAUUCUCGAAAGAGAUAUUAGGAUAAUUUAGGGAUUUCUACGGAUCAAGUUACUAAGUAAAGAAAUUGUGUAAUUUAGAUUGAUAGUGACAAAUGAAAUCUAGGUGAAUUCUUUCUUGGAUAUUAUUUCGUUUCUUGGUUGUUAAUCGGUUAUUUUCGUGAUUUAUUCUUUGUUGUGUUCAUUAGUUAAUUAAUUUAGUUCAUUUUGGUUUUUAAUCAAUCACUCGAUUUAUUUGGUUAAAUAAUAGAAAGACAGUAAUUACUAGUACAUUUAGUUUUUAAUCAAUCAUCUGAAUUUCUCUUAGGGUGGUCAAGAAAAUCAAAGGUCAUAACCCCCUCUAGGUUUUCAGCAACCUUAUCAGCAAGAAAAAAAAAGCCAAAUCUAAAAUAGAUGUUAAUGAAAUUUAUUUCAGUGCCAGAAACUAGAUUCAAGAACACUGAGACAACUUUGAGGAAUCAUCAAGCAUCUAUUCAGGGACUCGAGAAUUAGAUUAGUCAGCUUCGUAAAUUGGUUUCGGAGAGACAACAAGGCAAUUUACCCAGUAACACUAAAACCAAUCGAAAAGAGCAAGUCUGCGUAAUCACUGUACGAACUGGAAAGGUGUUAGUUGAACCUUAAAAGAAGUUGAAUCUAGAAGUUAUUGAGAAAAAUGAAGGGGUUAAGGAAAGUAAGAAAGAGCAUAAACAGGUGUUCAAAGAAUACAAACUGCCAAUUCCAUAUCUGACAAAAGUGAAGAAAGACCGCAUGAAUGAACAAUAUUGUAAAUUUCUUGAACUUUUGAAAAAGAAACUAUAUAUUAACUUACCUUUUGUUGAAGUCCUUUCGUAGAUGCCAAAGUAUACAAAAUUUUUAAAGGAGUUGUUAACAAAUAAAAAGAAGUUAGAUGACCUGUCCACUGUAGAGCUCAAUGAGGAGUGUUUGACAAUUCUCCAAUAAAAAGCUACCCACCAAGCUUAAAGAUCGAGGGUAUUUUACUAUCUCUUAUUUUAUUGGUAGCUUAAAUGUUGAAAAAGCUUUGGCUUAUUUGGGUGCUAGUAUAAAUUUGAUGCCUUAUAAAAUGUUCAAACAACUUGUUCUCGGGGAACCAAAACCCAAUAAGAUGUGUAUUCAAUUAGCUUACAAAUCAAUUAAGUAUCAUAGGGGCAUUAUUGAAGAUGUACUUGUUAAACUUGAUAAAUUUAUAUUCCCUAUUGAUUUUGUUAUAUUAAACAUGGACGAGGAUAUUGAGUUACCCAUAAUCUUAGGUCGACCCUUUUUAGCCACUGCUAGAACUGUUAUUGAUAUAGGUGAUGGUGAACUUUUGCUAAGGGUAGGUGAUGAAGAGGUUACUCUUCAAGCACGUGAACUUUUUAGAGUUUCUAGUGAGCGAGAUGAUACUCGUUAUUUUGAUAGUUUUAGUAAUCGAGCGACUCAAAAUUCUUUGCAGGAAAUCACUAAUGAAAACAUGUUAGAAUUGUAUCUUGUUCAAGGUGAUAAAAAUUAAGGGACGAGUGGAGAACGAAUGGUGCAACUUGAUGAAUUAGACGAAUGACAACCAAAGGCUUAUGAGAAACCAAAAAUGUUCAAAGAAGUAAUAAAGAAAGCCAUGGUGUGCAUUUUAAAUCGACGAACAAAUUCAAAGUAGGAGACAAAGUGUUGCUGCAGAAUUUAGAUCCACAAAUGUUCCUUGAAGAGCUUAAAUUAAGAUGGUCAAAAUUUUUUAUGCAUUUUUGGGUGAUUAUUUGAUGUCAAUUGUGAAUUUUCUGCUCCUAAUCCUUUAAAUUCAUGUUUUUACGCUUAAUAAAGCACUUGGGAUCAAAAGGAGUAAAAAAUGAGCGGAAAUCAAAAAAAUCAAAACAAGCUAUAAGAUUCACACGGGCUGGCCCAUUCCACACGGCCAUGUGACCCACAUGGGCUACCAUACGGCCUUGUGGUAGCCCGUGUCAAUUUCACAACCUGCUUCCCAAACAUGCAAAAACACUCAAAUUUAGGCUUUCUGAGCAUUAUAAAGUCUAUAAAUACCAAAUAGAAUAAGACAUAUAGGAGCCAUCAGAGAAUAUCAAGAAAAUAACUCGAAGAACACCAUCGAAGCCAAUUCUGAAGUGGAUUUCCAUCAAGAUCGAAAACCUCCUUUUAAUUUUCCUUGAAGUUUUUAUGAGAUUAUUUGUUUCUUGUGGUUUUUCUGUCACUGAGAUAUUUUUUUUAGGAUUAUGAACUAAUUCCCUAGAUACCUAAGGAAGAUCAAACCUAUGAUGAAUUCUAUUAUUUAAUUUUUGUUUUACAUGAUAAAUACUUGAUAUUAAUUCAUAUUUUUGGGAUAUUAAUUCAUGUUUAAUAUGCUUAAUUUAGUGGAGGAAAAGUCCAUGUUUAAGAGUAGAUCUAACAUAAUUGAGUGGAGUUGCAUGCAAUCCUAGAAAUAGGACGACAUAAAUCAACCAGAUUAGAGUCAAAUCUAAUAGGGAAAUUCGUAGAUCGAUGUGAUGAAACUAUAAGGGUUUUAAUUAGAAAGAGAUUUCAAAUAAUCAAUGUAGAGUCAGUUGUUUUUACUCUCGAAAGAGAUAUUAAUCAUUUAAUUCAGAGUCAUAAUAAUAGAUAAAGUCUAGGUGGAUUCUUUCCUAGGUAUUGUCUCUCUCAUUGGUUAAUAUUCGAUUAUUUCCUUGAUUCAUUCUCUGUUGAGUUCUUAGUUAAUUUAGUUUAGUAAUUUUAGCUUAAAACCUAUCACUCGAAUUUGUCGGUUAAAUAAUAAGAAAACGGUAAUUACUAAUACUUUUAGUCCUCAUGGAUAUGAUAUCUUUACUCACCGUAGCUAUACUAUUGUUCGAUAGGUGCACUUGCCUUAGUCAUAUUUUUAGUUAGUCACGUGAGACACAUCAAUAUACAUUUGGAAUCUCAAGUUAACAGUUUUUAGUAUGUUGAGUGUAGUGACUGUAGCUAUGAUCAAACUCUUAAAGAAACUUUCAAGUCCUUCAAGAUACUGGGUUGUAAAAUGCCCAAAUGGGAGUCCAGAAUUUCUGUUUCAUGCUAUCAAUAUAUGUAUAUGAUAAACAGAAAAUGUGUACAAGGAUGAAAGUUACUAUACUAGGCAUAGAAUAAACAACAAAUGUAUAUGCUAAAGAAAUAUUAAAUUCAUUUGUCAAAAUUCUUUUCAUUUAUGAUAGAUGAAGUAUACAUAUAUUUUUUUAGCAAUGUAUAAGGAUGUAUAGCAAAAUUGUAUAAAGUUGUUUUCUAUUGCCAUAUGUUAUACCUUUCUGCAGCCUAAUAGCUAAGGAUGUUGAGAACAGAAACUCUAGUUUUGACCAAGAGCCUCAACAAGCACCCCACUCUAUCUUCAAGAUCUUGAAUACUUGACUCCAAUUUCUGCAACUCAAUUUGUGCAUUAUCAAUGCUCAUUUUACUAGAUUUUCUGGUCUUGUUACCAAUGAGAGUGCAUAAAACUGCAUCCACUUUCUCGAAUUCAUUUGUUUUCGUUGCUUCUCCCUCGUGUGUUACGUGUUUAGAGCUCAUCAACUUGGACAGAAAACACCAAUUGGUCGAUUUUGAUUCCAUCUUUGUAAUUCAACCUCCAAAUUAGCAAAAUUAGAUCUUAAUCUAACAGACCUAAAAGGUGCACCAAACCAUUCUGGAAUGAUUAUUAAAAUUUAUCCCCAAACUAAGAAAACAAAGAAAAUUUAUGGGAAAAACAACUAGACCAUAUAACUUUCCUAUUACUAACUAGAAACAUGUAAAUUUUCAUUUAAAUACAAUUGGAAUCUCAAGUUAACAGUUUUGAGUAUGUUGAGUGUAGUGAUUGUAGCUAUGAUCAAACUUGUUGGAAUUUUGAUACUGUUGCGAGAUGACCAUUCAUGCAGCAAACACAUUUGGCGAACCCAUUAAGAUUGGCAAUCUCACAGAAAGUGGCGAGCUCAUUAAUUUUGGUGAACAAAAAAAUAUGAACAGGAUUUGAUGAGUUUACUUGCAAGACAAGUUAAACAAAAUAUAUUUGCUUUCUAGAAGAUUUGGUUUUUUAUUAGUAUAACAUAUUUAGCAUUUAUUAGUAUAAAUAUCUUUUUUAUUUCUUUCCAUAUUUGGGAGUUUUUUCUUGCCAUAAAUACCAUUGUUACAUUGUUCAAAAUAGAUGAGUUAAAAAUAAUAAAAACCUUAGCAAUCAUUUUUGUUGCUAAUAUUUUUUCGUUUCUUCUCUACAAUUCUUCCUUUCUUAGUAUUGACUUAAACACCAUUGAGGGACAGUGCUACAGUUGCUAAAAUUAAACACCACAGUGACGAGCGAGCUAAAAGAUACAAGGUAAUGUCCUAUAUUCAAAAUGGCAUCUUGGAUGUCAUAUUCAUACGCAUUAUGGCCUGUGAAAAUAAAGGAAAAGUUUCAAGCUUCAGAUAAGACCAGACAACAACAACAACAACUCAUUAAUCUCAGGAGAUAUUCUGAGAAUUUGAAGAUGAAGGAGCCAGAAACAGUGAAGUAAUAUGCAAACAGGAUUAUGGCGGUUGUAAACAACAUCAAGCUAUUUGGGGAAGAGUUCGCAGCUAGCAAGGUCGUUGAAAAGGUCAUAAAAACACUUCCUGAGAGGUAUGAAUCAAAUAUUUCCUCACUCAAAGACUCAAGGGAUCUCUCGGUGAUCUCUCUUUCAGAAUUGAAAAAUUUAUUGUAUGCUUAAGAACAAAGAAUAGCAUCAAGGAAUAAGGAGCAGGCAGAAGAAAAAGCUUUACGAGCCCUGAGCAUUGAAGGUGAAAACCCCCAAAAACAUAAGGGAAAUAAAGGUUGGUCAAAAGAUGAAGGUGAAGUUGAUAAGAUGGUGGAUAGAAGAAAUAUUCACCAUGUUUGCAUUGUAAGAAAAACACUCAUCUUGCAAAAUAUUGCUAGUACAGACCAAAUAUUAAGUGCAGAUCAUGCAAGCAGUUAGGUCAUAUAGAGAAGGUAUGCAAGAACAUAGGGUGAACCCCUCAACAGAAUAUGCAAGCUCAAGCAACUGAGGAAGAUUGCAUUCAAGAAUAGCAGGUGUUCACAACCACAAGUUAUGCUUCAAAGAACAAAGUCGUGAAAGGUUGGUUGAUCAAUAGUGGAUGCACCAACCAUAUGACCUCUGAUGAAAGAAUCUUCACGAAGAUUGAUCGAAGUUGCAAUCUUAAAGUAACAGCGAACUCUUAGAAGCUAUGGGUAAGGGUGAACUUGUGCUUAAUUCAUCAUCAAGUUCUAAAGUAAUUGGUCAACUACUUGCAAAAAUUUACAAUGUAGUUUUUAAGAAUUAUGGCUGCAUAAUAUUUGAUUCAUUGGGACAUUAAGUUGUAACAGCCUCGAUGAGAAAUAGAAGUUUUAUGUUGGAUUGAAAUUUGGCGAACUCAAGGGCCUACACUAGUACGGUCAGUGAUGCGAACCUUUGGCACAAAAGAAUAGGACACGCGAACUAUAAGUCUCUGAGUCGAUUGUGCGAAGUAGGUUUAGUUCAAGAAAUAAUCAAUGUUUUGAGAGAUUCCAAAACUACUGUGAAGAAGCUAGAAUCAUCACCAGCUCACCAAUAUUUACACUCCAUAGUAGAAUAGAGUCUGGGAAAGAAAGAAUAGGAUAGUAAUAGAUAUGGCAAGGUGCCUAUUAUUUAAAAGCAGGUUGCAAAAUAAGUUUUGGGCUGAGACAGUAAACACAUCAGUCUAUUUACUGAACAAGCUACCAUCUAAGACAGUAAAAGAGAUGACUCCAUUCGAAGCAUGGAAUGGAAACAAACUCUCUAUUUCUUACUUAGAAUUUUUUGGCUAUGUCUAUUUUAUUCGUGUUCCACAUGUGAAAAGGAACAAGUUAAAAAUAAGGUCGCAACCAUGUAUCUUUCUUGGGUAUAGCAAUAAUAGGAAGGGAUAUAGAAUUUAUGAUCCUUCCUCCAAGAAAAUUUUGGCUAGUAGGGAUGUUGUGUUCGAUGAAAGCAAAACAUGGAAUUAGGAUACUACUAAGGUUGAGCAAAGGUUGGGCAAAUUGGGUUCGCAAAACUAUUAUGAUGAUGGCGAGCUGAGGUCGUGGUCUAGCAAUGAGUUAACUAAUGUAACUUCGAUGACACUCCAGUAAGGAGCACACGAUCCAUUAAUGAGAUCUAUCAGAGAGCUGACGUAGCACUACCUGAACCUAAGAGCUUUGAAGAGGUUGAAACUAUUGAAGGCUGGAAAGAAGCCAUGCAAGAAUAAAUAAGCAUAAUUCAUAAGAACCAAACUUUGGAGCACAUUGACAAACCAUCGCACAAAAAGGUCAUUAGUGUCAAGUGGGUGUUCAAAACCAAAUUAAAUGUUGAUGGUUCUCUUAACAAGCUGAAGGCGAGAUUGGUUGUGAAAGGUUUCAGUCAAUAGUAUGGCAUUGAUUACUGGGAGACGUUUGCACCAGUAGCAAGGCUGGACACGAUCAGAUUAUUAUUGUCCUUAGUAGCAUAGAUGUUGUAACAACCCGUUUUUCAGUGGUUUUAUGGCCACAGAUUCGAUGAGUAAGUUCGUAAAUGUUAGUAUUUAAUUUUUACAAGUCAAUUAUGAUUAUUAAAAGGUUUUUGAUAUGGUAAUUUACGCUAUUCGAAUAAUUAAUUAAGUUCAUCUGGUAAGACCCUAAAGUCAAGUGGCUUUAGAAAAUGCGGUAUCGGGACCUCAGUUCUAUAAACCGAGUCAUAAAUAUUUUUAUAAAUAGUUACGGAGUUUUAUAAAGGCCCUAUUAAAGUUCCAUUGAAAAAUUUUAACGUUUCGAUAAUUAAUUAAGACAAAAAGACUAAAUCAUAAAAGUUGAAAAAAGUCUAUCGUUAUUAGUUUAAAUGUGUUAUUUGAUUGAAGAAUUAUAAUUGAAGGGUCUUAAUGGGUAAAUUACCCAUUCUUAAGUUGGUGGACGGUUAAAGCUUUAUUUUCUUUUAAUUUUAUAUGUAUUUUAUAUGUUAUAAUACUAUUAUUAAAAUAUAAAGAUAAAAUAAUGAAUAAAAAGGCUAAUAAAAUAAAACAAAAGGGCAUCAUCUUCUUAAGCACACUGAAUGUGCCAUGGAAAAAGAAAUGGAGAAGUUUUAAGCUUCGGCCUUGCUUUGAAUGAUGCAUGUAAGUCAGUUUUAGUCUCGUUUUUAAUAAUUUUUGUGUUUUUUAGAUCGUUGCAACUAGGUUCAGCUAGCCCGUACCUUCGAUUUUGAAACUAUUAAAGAUUUUAAAUGUUCUUAUUUAUGAAUCUUGUGGUUUUUUAUGUUAAAUGAUGAAUUUGAGAUAUUAGUGGCUAUGUAACAGUAUUUUGUUAAGUGAUUUUUAAUGUAUUUGUCGAUUAAGGACUAAAUUGUUGAAUUAAUAAAAGUACAAGGAUUUGAUGUGAAAUUAUUACAAAGUUGGGCUAUAUUGGGUGCCAUGAACAUUUUGCUAAGCUUCAAUUCGGGUAAUAAUGGUUAAAUUGCAUGUUUUAGGCUCAUGGACUAAAUUGAAUAAAAGUAAAAUAUUAGGGGUAAUUUUGUAAAAUUUUCAAACUGACUAAAUUGCAUAAAAUAAUUUUUUUUGCUAUCUAAAUUAAUAAACUGAAUGAAAUUCUUAAUUUAGAUCAAGAUUGAGUGGAAAAUCGAAGAGAAUGAAAAUUACAAAAAUGCCCCUAUAGUUUGACAUUUCUGCAGUUCAAUCUAGGUAAGUUCGUACGGUUAGAAUUUAACAUCAAUAUGAAUUUUUGAGUAGAUUAACAUGGAAAAACUUAUAUAUUUAUUUUUAAUUGUUUCUAAUUAAUGGUAAUUCGAGAUAUAAUAUUGAAUUUGAUGCUCGAUUUGGAUUGAACGCGGGAUAGAGUACAAUUGUGAUUUGUUGUGUUUUGGGGGUUUGAAGUGGAGAUGGCAUUGGAGGGAGAUACUUGUAUAUUACCCAGGUAAACCGAGGUUCAGCAUUUUUUGCAAACUCUCGUGUUAUACUCUUUGUCUGGUGUGUUUCAGUUGAAUUAGCUUUUCUGAGCUUCUGUCUAGUGUGUUUUGGUUGGGCUCUUAUGAGCUUCUGUUGAUUUGACGAUGUACUCUUAAUUGUAAGUCGUUAUUCGAAUGGGAAAUCCUAAUGAAUUUGAAAGAUUUGUUAUUUAUUGAAUAUUGAUCUGAACAUAGAUGAAUUCAUCGAUUGAAAUUGGGAUUGACAGGGAAUUCUCAUGAUUAAUUAUUAUUGUUUGAACUGUUGUAUUUACUUUGGUAAGAUUUAUAAUGCAUCGAACUUACUAAGCUUUAUUAAGCUUACUUAUGUUGUUUAAUGUCAUUGUAGAUACUCGGAAGGUUGGACGACCGGGUCGGCACUCAAGUCACACUAUUUAGCUCAAUUCAGUAGAUUUUGGAACGUUUAUUUCAAAUUAUAUGGCAUGUAUAGGCUCUUGUGUGAUUAUCAUUAAUUUUUUGGUUUAUAUAUAAAUUAUAGAUGAUCUUUUGUGUAAAUGGUCAACUUAUAUAAUAUAUGAGAAAGAGGUAUAGUUUCUAUGCUAAUGUGAAUAAUAUGUACCAAAGAAAUGUUGUGAUUGAGAUACCUUUGAUAGGUAUUUUGGAUAGGUAUUGCUUGAAUGAAUUGAUUAUUAUUUUGAUGCAUAAUUAUAUAUACUUGUGAUACCAAUGAGGGUACAUUGGUUAGGCACUUAAUAGGUUGGUUUUGGUGUGUUUUUGGCUCGAUUAAAGUCGUUCUGAUUUGGUAUUUUUGUUAAUAUUUGAGUUUCCUAAGGUCCAAGCAAACUUGAAAUGAUAAUCUUGUGUUUUAAGGUUCAUUUUAGGUCCACACGGCAUGAGACACCCACACGGCAUGAGACACAAGCGUGUGUCUCAACCGUGUGUGACACACGACCAUACGACACGGCCUAUGUGUAAUGACCUGAUAGUCAUGGGUUUCAAAAAGUGCAUUUUUGAGACUCUGUUACCGUAAAUCGGACUCGUAAAAAUUGUUAGGUGAAUUUGCUUGAAUUAAGAGUAAUUAAGUAAAAGAACUAAAUUGUAUAUAGGGUAAAAUUUGAAUUAUAGAUUAAAGAAAAAUUAAAAUGACCAAAGAAACAAUUAUGACAUUGCUUAUAAAUGAGGUGGCAUAAGAUAGAUACUUAUAAAAUUUAAAGUUAAAAUAUAUAUUAUAAUAUUAUAUCUUAAUUAUUAAGUAUAUAUAUUAUAUUAUAUAUUAUAAUAAGUAAAUAUAAUAAAUAAAAGAAACAAAAAAGAAAGGUAGAAGGUUAAACGAAAUAGAAAGAAAAAAAGAAAGAAAACGAGAAAAGAAAAAGAAUGAAGGAGAAAGACACAAAGCUAGGGAUUUCAAUUGUUUAAAGUUCAAUUGGUUAGUCAAUUUAGUCCCAUUUCUUGUAAUUUUUAUGUUUUUGGAAUUCUAGUAUUGAAUACUACCCGACCCAUGUCAAAAUUUAAGAAAUUAUUAAGUUUUUAAGUGUUUUCUAUGUUGAAUAAUUUUAGAUUUAAGGAUUAAAAUUGAUAGAUUUUUAAGUUAGAAAUGAAAAAGAAUUAAUUUGUAGAAUAAAUUGUAAAUUUUGAGUAUUAGGGACUAAAUUGUGAAAGUUUAAAAUUUAGGGAUUUAAGUGAAAUUAGGGAGUUAAAUUCAGUCUAAAGUGAAAUUUGCAUGAAAAUAUAAGAGUAAUUGUGAAGAACUAAAAGUUAGUCUCGGUUUAGGGACUAAAUUAGAAUUUAGGCAAAUAUUGAGUAAAAAUUAAACUAUUAAAUAUGAGAUUGAAUUGUGUUGUAUUGAUGAAUUUUAACUGUUUUAAUUUCGUAGCUAAUGUCGAACCAGAACCCUCGACUAAAAAAGGGAAAGAUAGAGUCGACAAGGAAUAACUCGAAAUUUUCGGUUUGUAUUUCUAUAAACUAAAUCUAAUUAUUAAUUGUUGUAUUUUGAUUAAAUGUUUAUGGUAAGUGAUUAAGGUGAGUAUUUGGCAUUUUGAUAUUGAACUGAAUUUAUAUGUAUAUAUGAUUAUAUGAAAAAUUGAUAUUGGAUAUUGGUUAUUUUUUAAUUGUGAAAUUAAACCCUAUUAAAUGUAUCGGGUUGAAUUGGAUAUAGAUGGCAUGCCAUAGGAUUGGAAAAGUUUAGGGAUUUCUUCGACUUAGAGUCGAUGAGACACUAGAUGUCAAUUUACUACUUCAGGUUAAUUCAAUGAAACAAUGGGUGCCAAUUUACUUCGAUUUAGCCGAUGAGACACUCGGUGUCAAUUUAUUACUUCGAAUUAUCCAAUGAGGCAUUGAGUGCCAAACUGGUGUGUUUUGGUUGGAUCUGUGUAUCCGUCUGAGUCCGAGUCGUAUUAAUAGGGUAAAAUGAAUAAAUAAGCUCUAUAAUUAAUAUUGAAAUGGUAUAGUAUGAGAAAUGGAAGUGAAUUGAAUAUGGAAUGGAUAAAACAAUUGCAUAAAUAAAAUGUGAGUUAAAUUGUGAAAAGCUAUUUCUAUAGCAAGUGAUGGAAAUCGAGUAUUGUACGGUUUAAAAUGUUCAAAUUUGCUUAAUAAUUUAUUGUACAUAUUAUAUUGUUUUAUCUAAAAAUAUUCGGAUUAUAGAAAUACCACUAAGUUUUACUCAGUGUACGGUUUUGUUUUCCGUGCACAGGUUAGGUACUUAUUUUUUAUCGCCGAUUCAGCAUCCAACAACGAUCCCAAUCUCAAACGUGGUGAUGUUUUUCCUUUUGUGUCGGCAUGUACCUAAUGUGUCUAACUAUAAGAUAUUUUUUGAAUUAAUUGUAAUGAGAUUAUAAGUUUAAUAUUGGUUGGUUAUAAACAUAUAAAUAUGUGUUUGUGUUAAAGUUAUAUUAUGGCAUGUUUAAUUGGUGUCUAAAGGCUUAUAAACUAGGCAAAUGGAUUGAAUUAGGUAUGUUUAUAAUUUGGAUUAGAAUGAUGUUUUAAUUAUAUGAAUUAAUGAUAUAAUUGUGGUACCAUUGAGGUACUUUCGUUAGACACCUAGGAUGAUUGUUUUGACAUGUUUUGAAUGUGUUUGAAUUGGUUAAACGAAUGAUUGUUGAGUUACUUAUUGUCCAAGCUUGCAGGGAAUGGUAAACUUGUUGUUUAAGGUACAUUUGGAGUCCACACGGCUAGCACACGGACGUGCGAGGCCAUUUCAAAAGGGCACACGGGCAUGUGACUUGGCUUUGUGACCAAAGUCAGAGAGUUACAAGGGUAUAGACACGGGAUGUGACACCGUUGUGUGUCCCUACUUUGAAUACCCACACGGUCUAAGACAUGGGCGUGUAUCUUGGUCGUGUGAGCCACACGGCCUAACCACAUGAGCAUGUGAACCCUGCAACUUUGAAAUUUUUUAAUAUUUUUCAAAAAAUUCUCUGAGUUUUUAAAUCAGUCUUGAUUUGUUUCUAACACGUAUUUUAGGCCUCGAGGGCUUGAAUAAGGGACAAUAUGUAUGAGUUUGAUUGGUUUUGACUUGAAUAUUAUAUGAUAUGACAUGUUUGAAAUGCUUGGAUAUUAUCAUGGCGUCUCCUUAACUUUUCAUCGUGUUUUUUUGGUUUCUCCUUAACAUGUGUUCGCCAUUCAUCUAGUUCAUUGAUUUGCAACAUUCGUUCCUCAUGAGUCAUUCUUUUUCUAUUGCAUGGACUGGAACUUGGCUCCAUAACAUUUUUCGAGGGUCCUGUAAAGAAGUUUGAGUCACAUGGUUACUCAUAUUAAUAGAACUUGUAAAAUCAUCUCGAUCAUUAGAUGUCUUAACAGAAUCAUGAGCUUGCAGAGUAAUCGUUUCGUCACCUACACGAAGUACUAAUUCACCUAUACCAACACCAAUAAUAGUUCUAGCAAUUGCUAAAAAUGUUCUUCCUAAAAUUAAAGGUACUUCAUUACCCUCAUCCAUGUCUAAAACAAAAAAAAAAUCAAGAUGUAACACCCCAAACCCGGCUUAGACAUUAUGGUCGGAUCUGAUGUGUCACAUCAAUGUGUCACUCAAAAAAUUGAACUCGUUGGUAGAAAAAAAUUUCUAAGUUUAUAAAAGAACCCCUUUAUUAUUAAUUUACAAAUCAAUUAGUCGAAACAUCUGUCUUGUUAUCUGAUAUUAAUUUAAUCAAUUAGUCUAAAAUUGCAAAAGAGCUUUUUGAAUUCUAUAGUUUUAAACUCGUGUCCUUGAAAACAGUAAUUAUUUUAAAAUUCAUUUUCUCCUAAACUAGCAAUUUAAAAUAUUGAAGUAAAUGCGCAAUUAAAAAUUUAAACCAACUUAAAGGCCUUAUUACAAAAACAAAACCCAACUUAUUAUUUAAAUCAAAAUAAAAGCAAAUAUGAAAAGCAGUGAUUGUGUGGCCAUCUCCGAGUCCCUCGCAACACCGAAUCGCCUAUGGCUGAGGAUUACCUGCACAGUUAAAGGAGAGGGUGAGUUUAUGAAACUCAGUGUGUGAUCCCUUUCUAGACAAUCACUAUGCAACAUGCAGAAUCAACCUGGGCCUGAGACCUAUACAAUAUCAGUACAGUGUGGGCCUUAGCCCAUUACAGUAACAGUGUGUGGGCCUUAGCCUAAUACAGUAAUCAGUACAAUGCAGUAAUGCAACCCAUCUCAAUCCAGCCAACACACCACUCCGUAGCCACCAGUACAGUAUACUUCCCCUAUAUCAGAAUCCCAACCCCAUGCAGUAUGUCAUGUAAUAAAUCAUACGUAUAUGCAGUAUGUCAUACUCAGUAACAGUCAUAUAUAUAACAUAGAGCAAAUCAAUCAUACACUCAUUUCAUCUCUUGGGAGUAUAAAAGUCAUUUUACCCGAUGGGGGGUAUUUCGAUCAUUUUACCCUUCGAGGGUAUUUCAGUCAUUUACCCUUCGAGGGUAUUUCGGUCAUUUUACCCUUUGAGGGUAUUUUGAUCAUUUUUCCCUUCAAGGGGUAUUUUGGUCAUUUUACCCUUCGGGGUAUUUCGGUCAUUUUACCCUUUGAGGGUAUUUCGAUCAUUUUACCCUUUGGGGGUAUUUCAGUCAUUUUACCCUUCGAGGGUAUUUGGAUCAUUUUACCCUUCAGGGGUAUUUCAAUUAUUUUACCCUUUGGGGGUAUUUCAGUUAUUUUACCUUUUGAGAGUAUUUCGAUCAUUGUACUCUUCGAGUAUAUUACGAUUAUUUUGCCCACGAAUCGCAAGUUGGGCUUACCACUCGAGCGUCCGCACACCCGUGUGGUCUCAAAUGCCAUGUUUACGGCUUUUCGACUUUUCGCCAAUCUACAGUUGUAGUGGGGAAAUUACACACCUGUUUGUGAAAACGCACAAAAAUCCACGAACACCCAAAAUUUGCAUUCAAACACGUUUUCCAUUAGGUUCUAAACAGAAAAGGGGUAAUCUCCUUCUUUUGCAACAUUAACCAGAAUUGAACGAAUACUUGCCUUGGCUAACAAAAGUGGCUUAGCCCACUUAUACCACCGACGAAGGCUGACAAAAAUCUUCUUAACAGAUAUCUGCAUCACAACGGACUUCAUUAAACAGUAUCGCAUAAUCAUGUGAUUUAAAACCACACACGGUAACUUACAGACCCAAAAAAAGAACUCGGCCUUUACAUUGGAAUACUAAACUGCGUACUUACCUAUGCUCGCGUGACGAGAGGAAGGUUUCGACGACUUAAAAACACUUGAAUAUUCUUUCCCUCCUUGAGGAACUCAAAUUGUCAGAGAAUGGAAUGGCGACAAUCGGUUGAACCACAAUCAAUAAAGGAAAAAGAAAUAGCUAUCGAUCACAAAGACAGAAUGAUAAUAAGAGAUAGAAAUCAAAGACAGAAUGAGAAGGACAUUCGGCCAAAAAAAAUGAGAAGAGAAAAGUGAUUCGGCUCAGCAGAGAAGAGAAGAGGAAAGAGAAAAAGGAUUCGGUAAAGAUGGAAUUCGGCUAAAACAAACAAAAAAGAAAGAAAAAGAAAAGUAAAGAGAAGAAAAUGAAAUAAAUGAGCAAACCCGAGAGUAACUCCUAGAACUUGGCAAAAUUCGACUCCAAAACUAAAAUGUGAAACCCGAAACUCACAAAAAUUGAAGCAGACUGAGAGAAAAACUCCAAAAUAAACCAAAACCGAUAACCUUACAUAAAAAAUGAUCAAAUUUGGCACAAACACCCUCACCCAGCCGAAUUCUCAAUGCUUGACUUACCCCAAACGGCACAACACUCCUCACAAAACAACUCCUUGAUUUAUUCCUAAAAUCUUUUCCCUUAUCCCUCAUUGAUUCACUCCGCCUAAUCACAAUCCCACUAUUCUCUCCAUGAUUCACUCCUCUAUUCAAAUCCCACAACAUUUCAGUCAAACUCCACCACCUCACUACACAGGUGGUAAAAAUAAACACUCUACAGUGCAGCACAGGACUCGAACCUCAGACCUUAAGAGUACUUCACACGCCACCUACCACUAGACCAAUAGGCUCUUUUUGUCAUAAAACAAGCAUUGAUAUUUAUAAAGCCUAUGUGCCAAUGUCCAUAUUCAUUUAAGAGCAAAACUAAAAAUUCUGUAAAAGCCAAAACUUGAACCCAAACACACCCAAAAAACUUAGCCAAUAAAGCAAACAAGUAAUUUUUUUCGAAACAUACAAAAAUUAAAAACUUGAAUUCUGGGGUGUUACAACUCUACCCCCUUAACAAAAUUUCGGCCUCGAAAUUUACCUGGUCAGAAAUGAUGAGGGUAUUACUGUCGCAUCGCCUCUUCGGGUUCCCACGAGGCUUCUUCUGAACUGUGAUUACACCAAAGUACUUUAACUAAUGGAAUAGAUUUCUUCCUCAAUAAUUUAACCUCACGAUCCAAAAUCUGCACUAGCUCCUCCUUGAAGGUUAGGUCCGGCCUAACCUCGAUCUCCUUAACUGGUACAAUGUGUGUGGGAUCAGAGCGAUAACGCCUAAGCAUGGAGACAUGGAGCACAUCAUGAAUCCGGUCUAACUCUGGAGGCAACUCAAGUUGAUAUGCGACCGGACCUACACGUUUUAGUAUACGAUAAGGCCCAAUGAACUUAGGGUUAAGCUUACCCUUCCAUCCAAACCUCAUAUCUUUUUUCAUGGACAAAACUUGAGGAAAACGUAGUUCCCUACAGAAUACCCAAUCUCUCAGUGUUUAAGGUCAACGUAAGACUUCUGCCUAUCAGAUGCAUCCCUCAGUCGGUCUUAAAUCAGUUUUACCUUCUCUUCAGUAUCAGAAACUAAUUCUGGCCCCAGAACUCGCCGCUCGCCUAACUCAGUCCAAUAAGUAGGAGUACGACACCUACAACCAUAUAAUGCCUCAUACGGUGCCAUUUGAAUACUGGACUGGUAGCUAUUAUUAUACACAAAUUCUGCUAAUGGCAAAUAGUCUUCCCAACUUCCUCGAAAAUCUAUUACACAACACCUCAACAUAUCUUCCAAUACUUGAAUCAUCUUUUCGACUGACCAUUCGUCUGGGGAUGAAACGCAGUACUAAAGUCCAGUCUAGAACCCAAAGCCUUGUGUAAUUUCUUCCAAAACUGAGACGUAUAGCGAGGAUCUCUAUCUUAUAUAAUACAAAUCGGUACCCUAUGCAGUCUUACAAUCUCAGCCACAUACAGUUUAACCAACUUCUGCAAAGAGUAAUCAGUACCAACUAGUAUGAAAUGGGCAGAUUUAGUCAUUCGAUCUACAAUAACCCAUACUGAAUCCUUCUUGGUAGGCGUUAAGGGCAGCCCACUCACAAAAUCUAUGGUUACUCUCUCCUACUUCCAAAGUGGAAUUUUAACUGGAUGUAGUAACCCUGAAGGUAACUGAUGUUCUGCCUUAACUUGCUGACAAGUUAAACACUUACCCACAAAAUUAGUUACUUCACGUUUCAGUCCUGGCCACCAGUAAAACUCACGAAAAUCUCGAUACAUUUUAUUCCCUCCUGGAUGCAUAGCAUAAGGACUACUAUGCGCCUCUCAAAGUAUAGAUUGCCUCAAAUCAUUAUCCUUCGGUACACAGAUUCUCCCACGGAAGCACAGUACUCCUUCAUUAUUUAACCAAAAUUCAAAGUUUCCCUAUUCUCAACCUGUCAGAAACGAGAAACCAGUGACUCAUCCAACAACUGUUUACCCUUAAUCUAUUCAGUCCACGUCGGUCUAACUUGCAACUCAGCCAACAAGCUACCAUCAUCAAACAGGCUGAUACGAGCAAACAUCGCUCUGAAAUCAGAUACAGCUCUACGGCUCAGUGCGUUCGCUACUACGUUAGCCUUACCGGGAUGGUAUUCAAUCGAGCAAUCAUAGUCCUUAAGCAGCUCUAUCUAUCUUUGCUGCCUAAGAUUAAACUCCUUCUGAGUGAGGAGGUACUUAAGACUCUUGUGAUCUGUGUAGAUAGUACACUUCUCACCGUAAAGAUAGUGCCUCAAAAUUUUUAGCGCAAAUACCACCGCAGCUAACUCCAAGUCAUGAGUAGGGUAAUUCGCCUCAUGAGGCAUAAGCUGACGAGACGCAUAAGCAAUCACCUUUCCCUCUUGCACCAGCACACAACCCAAACCAACGUUUGAUGUAUCACUGUAGAUAGUGAAUUCCUUCCCAGACUCUGGUUGUAUUAAGAGAGAGGCCUCAGUCAGAACUUUCUUCAAUUUCUCAAAACUUUCAUGCUGCUUAUUAGUCCAAUUAAACGGUACCCCUUUACGCAGCAACUUAGUCAAGGGUGCGGCAAUUAAGGAAAACCCCUCAACAAAAUGUCUAUAAUACCCUGCAACACCUAAAAAACUUCGAAUCUCAAAUACGGUCUUAGGUGGUUUCCAAUCUAGUACAGUUUCAAUUAUUCAAGGAUCAACCCUCCCCUCGGCAGAUACCACGUGGCCCAAAAAUGUCACUUCUCGCAGCCAGAACUCAUACUUGCUAAACUUAGCAUAUAGUUAUUUCUCCCUUAAAAUCUGUAGAACAAUUCAGAGAUGUGCAUCAUGCUCAUCCUCGAUUCUCGAAUACACCAAGAUAUCGUCUAUGAAUACCACCACGAACCGAUCCAAAUAGGGCUUAAAUGCUCGAUUUAUUAGGUCCAUGAAGGCAGCUAGUGCAUUUGUCAACCCAAACGGCAUAACUUGGAACUCGUUAUGACUAUAACGAGUCCUAAACGCAGACUUAUACACAUCAGCCUCAUUAACUCUCAACUGAUGGUACCUAGAACGAAGAUCUAUUUUGGAGAAAAUCAAAGCUCCUUACAACUGAUCAAAUAAAUCAUCUAUCCUCGGAAAAGGAUACUUAUUCUUGAUAGUCAGUUUAUUCCAUUAUCGAUAGUCAAUACACAUGCGCAUGGUCCCAUCUUUUUUCUUUACGAACAACACUGGUGCUCCCUACGGAGACAUACUAGGUCGAAUGAAUCUUCGAUCCAACAGUUCUUGGAUUUGAGCUUUUAACUCCAUCAACUCAUUCGGUUCAUCCUAUAAGAGGCGAUAGACACUAGAGCCGUUCCUAGGAAAAGCUCAAUUCCAAAUUCAACUUCGCAGCUUGGAGGCAACCUAGAGAGCUCAUCAGGAACAACAUCAAAAAAUCCUUAAUAGUUCUGACAUCCCUAAUAGAAGAACCCUUAGAAACGGAUGCACUAAUAUAAGCUAGAAACGCUUCACAACCCUUAUGAACCAGUUUUUCGGCCCUUAAAGAAGACAUCACAUUAGAUAGAAAAUCCUUUCGCUCCCCAAUCACAAUUACCUCCUUAUCCUCAGUAGUCUUUAAUACUAUACGCUUAGCAGCACAAUCCAAACUUGCACGAUGUUUAACCAACCAAUCCAUCCCUAAAAUCAAGUCAAAAUCACCAAACGGUAGCUCCAUCAAAUCCGCUAAAAAUAUAACUCCUUGAACCUCUAGGGGCACAUCUCUAAACAACUUGUCUACCCUUACCGAUUGUUCCAGUGGAUUCAACACCGUCAUCUUAUUAACAGUACUCUCACACAUGAUACCCAAGGUGCCAGGCACAGUGCAUGCAAUGUAUGAAUGCGUAGACCCUAUAUCAAUUAAAGAGUGUAAGGUACAUUAUGAAUAGGGAACAUACCAGAUAUAACAUCUGGAGCGUCACCAUCCUCACGGCGACGAGCAGUAUUGACCAGUGCUGGCUACCUCGCCUCAUUGUUUCCAACCCCUCUGCCAUACGUUCCACGACCUCAGCCCACACCAUUUCCACCUCUAACCUGCCCACGGCCUCUAGGUGGCUGCUAACCACCUCUCACUGGCUGAACAAAAUCCUGACCUACAGCUUGCAUCUGAGUAGGCCUCUGAGGACAAUUCUUAACUUGAUGCUCCUUAGACCCACAUCUGAAACAUGCCCCAAUCUUCUUCCAACACUCACCCAAAUGAUGUCUCCCACAUUCAACACAAUCCUAUAGUCUAAUAACAGUAACCCCAGCUUGGACAGGCCCAUCAAACCUGGCCUUCUUUUUAGGCUUUUCAGAAGAACUUGAGGGCUCUGAAUCCCUCCUAAACCUGCCCCUAUCUUUCUCACGAUUCUGGGGCUCAGAGCACUUUACAUCCUCGGUGAUUUUCACCUUUUCAAUUAGGGUAACAAAAUCUCGAUCCCUCUGCGGAGCUAUCAGAACUCACAACUCAUCCCAGAGGCCAUCCUUAAAUCGCACAUAGCGUUCAUACUCAAUUGCCACUAUCCCACGUGCAUAGCGACUCAGUCGCAGGAACUGUGCCUAAUAUUCUGCUACAGUCUUAUUCCCCUGGGUCAAGCUCAAAAAUUCUUUUCUUCGAGCGUCCACAUAACUUGUGCCCACAUACUUUCCUUGAAAAUCCAACUUAAAGAAAUCCCACGUUAACCAAUCAGCCUGAGUACCCUCUCUUACGGUAAGCCACCACUGAUAGCCCUCGUCUCGUAGUAAAGACAUUGCACCUUUUAGCUUUUGCUUAGAAGUGCAGUCAAGAUCAUCCAUUAUUCUUUCCAUGGCUUCCAACCAAUAUUCAACCACAUUAGGGGCUACUCCAGAAAUACCCCUAAAAAUUUCUGCUCCAUUCGACUGGAGUCAUUCUAAAAUUCACCCACGGCCCACAGCACCUUAACUAGUCCCUGUGACCCUUUCAAGAAUACGGAGCAUUUCUUGGGAUAGUGCAUCAUCCCUAGUCGCUCGAUCGAAUAUUAGGCAUGUGGCCCGAUGCCAAAGACCUAGCCCUAGCACACCCUCGGCCUCUACCACAGCCUCGAGUACCCCUUCUCCGAGUACCUCUAGUGCUCAUAUCAAAUAAUUUAUAAUCUGUUUAUGAAGUUUUAUGCAUUAGUUAACAGUUCCAGUAAUUUAAUCAAUUAAUCUAAAAUCGCGAAAGAGCUUUUUGAAUUCUAUAGUUUUAAACGCGUGUCCUUGAAAACGAUAAUUAUUUUAAAUUUCGUUUUCUCCUAAACUAGGAAUUUAAAAUAUGGAAGUAAAAGCCCAAUUAAAAAUUUAAACCAACUUAAAGGACUUAUUACAAAAACAAAACCCAACUUAUUAUUUAAAUCAAAAUAAAAACAAAUAUGAAAAACAGUGAUUGUGUGGCCAUCUCUGAGUCCCUCGUAGCACUGAAUCGCCCACUACUAUAAGCAUUGAGAUCAACAACUAGGGGCUCGUAGUGAUUCUUUCUCUGCCCCAAAAGUGUUGAAACAUUUUCAAAUAUUUAUAGUGUUCCAGUAACUAUAAAUGAAUGAGUGUAAUUAAUCAAAAGAUUAUAUUAUUUGAUUUUUUGAAAAAAAAGUUAUAACUAUUUAAAUAAUUUUAUUUGAAUAGUUAUAAUAUUAAAUGAAUAAUUAUGUAUUUUUUUAAAGACAUUAUUAUUCAGAAAGACACCUAUUGAUGAAAGAUGUCUCUGUGAAGAGGCAUGAAAAUUCCUAUAAAUAGGAAUGGGAUUUCAUUUGGAAAAUAUACCAACAAAUUAUAAUAUUCUUUCUUUCCCUCCUUCAUUUUCUAAUAUUAUUAGAUUAUUCUAUAAAGUAUUACUGUAGAAAUCCUUUGUAGAAAUUGAGUUUCCUAUUAUACAUUGCUUAGUGCAUAGUGGACCAUUCUUGUUAGUGCAAAACGAAAAUAGUCAUUGGCUUCAUUGUAUCCUCGAGGUUAAUUUGCUUGGAACUUAUUUACACACCGAAGAUAGGUGGGGGCGAAUAUAACAUAAAAGAUAGUGGCUUGAUACACACCUUGUAACCUUGUCCUAUUUCUUCUUUUUCUAUUCAAGUUCCAUUCGUGUGUUCGAGAUUUGCCUCACCGGAGUUUUGUACUAACAAUUUUAAGGUUAUAUUAUUCAUGAUGACUACCACAACACAUGAAAGUGGAACACUAAGGGAAUUGGCUACCAACUUUGUCAAACUUGAUCGGUUUGAUGGUGGUAAUUAUCGAUAAUGGUAGAAAAAGAUGCACUUCUUAUUAUCAACUUUGAAGAUUGCUUAUGUUUUGGAUGCUCCAAGACCUGAAGAGAAUGAAAACGAAUCUGUUGCUGCAACCCGAGAAAGACAAAAAUGGGACAAUGCUGAUUACAUGUGCAUGGGCCAUAUAUUGAAUGGUUUAUCUGAUGGUUUGUUCGACACCUACCAAAACGAGGUCACCACUAAAGAAUUAUGGGACAAAUUGGAGAUAAGAUACAUGACCGAAGAUGUUGCAAGUAAGAAAUUUCUUAUCAGUCGUUUCAAUAAUUAGCAAAUGGUUAAUUUCUUGUCAGUCGUUUCAAUAAUUAGCAAAUGGUUAAUGGUCAUUCUGUUAUGGAACAAUUCCGUGAUAUUGAAAAGAUGCUAAAUCAAUUCAAGCAAUAUGAUCUGAAAAUGGAUGAAAUGAUUGUUGCAUCCUACAUAAUAGACAAACUUCCUCCAUCUUGGAAACACUUUAAAAGAAGUCUAAAACAUAAGAAAGAGGAAAUAUCUCUUGAGGCUUUGGCAAAUCAUCUUCAUAUUGAAGAAGAAUAUCGACAACAAGAUCAGAACCUAAAUUCUAAAAAUGCCAAAGUGCAUGUUACGGAGGAAGUACAGACUACUAAACCAUUCCAGAGAAAGUUCAAACAAACUGGUAGAGCACCUAAGUUCAAAAAGAAACAAAAUGGCUCAUGCUAUCAUUGUGGAAAGCUAGGACAUUUCAAGAAUGAAUGUCGAUUUUUAAAGAAGAAAUCAUCUUCUAAGGCUAAUAAUAACGAAAAGUUCGUUGCAAUGAUAUCUAAAAUUAAUAUGGCACAAGAUGAUAAUACAUGGUGGAUUGAUACCGGAGCAACCAUGUGUGCAAAGACAAAAGCAUGUUCACAAAGUUCACACAAUGUGAAAAUGACAAUAUCUUGUACGUGGGAAAUUCUUCCAGCGCAAUAGUCAAAGGCUUGAUAAAUUUUGUUACUUUUAUUGAUGAUUGUUCUAGAUAUUGUUAUGUAUAUUUAUUGCAUUCAAAAGAUGAAGCGCUUGAUAAAUUUAAAGUUUAUAAAUCUGAAUUUGAACUUCAGUAGCUGAAAGGAAAAAUAGAGUCUUGACUGAAAUGGUAAAUUCAAUGUUAUCAUAUUCAGGUCUUGGAUAAGGUUUUUGGGGAGAAGCUGUUCUAACUGCUUGUCAUAUAUUGAAUAGAGUUCCUAAUAAGGAAACUAAAAUAACCCCCUAUGAACAAUGGAAGAAAAGGAAACCAAACCUUAAUUAUUUGAAGGUUUGGGGUUGUAGAGCUAUUGUCAAAAUUCCAACACCAAAGCGUAAAAAGUUAGGUCAAAGAGGAAUUGAACGCAUAUUUAUAGGUUAUGCACAUAAUAGCAAGGCAUAUAGGUUCAUGGUAAUUGAACCAAAUGAUUCAAUUUCAAUUAAUAUUGUUAUUGAAUCAAAAGAUGCUAUUUUUGAUGAAAAUAGAUUUAAUUCUACAUCAAGACAAUUACAACCACAACAAUUGAUUCAUUCUUCAAAUGAGAAUGAGAUUCCAUUGAAACAAAUUGAUAAUAAUGAUGAAUCUUGUCAAUAAUUAAGAAGAAGAAUUCAAUAAUGUUAUUUGAAUAGUUAUAAUAUUAAAUGAAUAAUUAUGUGUUUUUUUAAAGACAUUAUUAUUCAGAAAGACAUCUAUUGAUGAAAGAUGUCUAUUUGAAGAGACAUAAAAAUUCCUAUAAAUAGGAAUGAGAUUUCAUUUGGAAAAUAUACCAACAAAUUCUAAUAUUCUUUUUUUCCUUCAUUCAUUUUCUAAUAUUAUUAGAUUAUUCUAUAAAGUAUUACUGCAGAAAUCCUUUGUAGAAGUUGAGUUUCUUGUUAUACAUUGCUAAAUGCGUAGUGGACUAUUCUCGUCAGUGCUAAAUGCAAAUAGUCAUUGGCUUCAUUGUAUCCUCGAGGUUAAGUUGCUUGGAACUCAUUUGCACACCGAAGAUAAGUGGGGGCGAAUAUAACCUUAAAGAUAGUGGCUUGAUACAUGCUAAGUGUGACUGCUUGAACCUCCCUUAAGACGCUAACCAUGGCACAGGUCUCGUUCAAAGAGGUGCUUUCCUCGUGCUUCAAAUUCUUCAAGGUCUUCAAGAUUGCCCUUUUAGCUGCCUUCUUAGAGCUCAAGUAUUUUCUAACCUCAUUAGCAAAGCCUUUUGUAGCACCUUUCUUUCGGCGCAAGAUAGAUUGAAGUUCUACGGUGCGUUCCUUUACUUGCAAUACGACAUCCUUGGCAGUGGUGAAUUCAUCUAAAAGCCCAAGAGAUCCAUUCAACAGCUCAUCGACAUAUUCCCCGUGCUGCUCAUGGGAUAAGAUUUUUUGAGUCAAGGGUAGCAGAAGCAGUUUCUCAGUGCAAUCAUGUAAAUUGUGAAGUCUAUCGAGUUUUUGGUUUAAGGACGACGAUAUAGAUGCCGACUCAGACGAUGCCAAUCUGCUCAAAUGCUCAUCAACCUCGGAAGCAAGAGGGUGGGCUCGAGAGGGAAAGCUAUUGGAACGAUUGUGGUAACUGGUGGUAGCCAUUAUUUCUUCUGGAAAUAAAAACUUGGAAGUUGUGAUCUGAAUUCAAUUUUCCUUUUCUUCCCUUCAUCUACCUAAUAUAUAUAUGCAUAUAUUGUGUGAAAGAGGAGACAUGAAGAAUCUCACCCUUCCAAAUUGAAGUCAUGAGGUAACAUGAACUUGAUACCAAUCUGAACUACUAUGUCAGCAUGGUUGAGCGAUGUCUCCCUCCUAACAUGCUCCACAACUCAUAACAUGAUUCUUUUAAUUAGUAUAUAAGAUUCCUGAUAUAAUAAAACUAUACUAUAUAAUGGGGCUAUGCACGAGUGGCUUUAAGCUUGCUUCAACUGACAGUGGCUACUUGUCUAUUAUUUGGAGACAAGAGACUAAUUUAUGUACCUAUUAUUGUUUAAUCAUUUCCAUCAACAUCGACUUGAACAUGUGCAUGCAAUUAACAUGGUUGAGUUUAUUAAUUUCUUGUCGUGCAGGAGGCAGGCAAGAUCUGCAAUCUCAACCUGUACAUAGUUUGCAACUUAUAGAAAAAUGGGUGGAGUUUUAAUGAUCAAUGCAGGAUGACUAAGCUGUGAGAAUAACUGAGAGACAGUUUUCGUUAAAUAAUGGGAUCUUUUAAACACAAAAUUAAAAACAGAUUAAAAUAAAAGUCAAAAUAAUUGGAGUAAUAAUGGCAAGGGGUAGGACAAGAUCCACUUUCGUAUCCUUUGCUCCCUUUUCUCCUCACAGAACCGAAGAAACUAUUGUGAUCGACAGACUAUGAUUUAUUUUCUUAAAGCGUGUGAGAUAUGCAUGUAUCUACCAUGUCAUAGUCAAAGUAAUCAAAUUGUUAAAACUUAUCAAAACAGGAAUCCUGACAGCUCAUGCAUUCAUAGCAGAAUCGCAUCAAAUCUGGAAUUUGGGUUUGGAGUUGGAAUUCCAGUAUCUAUAAUCUCGUAAAAAGAAAAGUUCAACUUGAAAGUUCAGAUAUUGGUGGACAAGAUUUAAUGAAAAGAGAGAAAGUUGGUGGACCGAAGACUGUAUAAUUUUUUGUUUUAACAAUAGUUGUAUACAUGUAAGUUAUAAUUAUGUACAAGUUUACAAUGCCAAGAUUUCAACAGUUGACAAUGUUUAGAACAGUGACUCUAGCUUUGAUCAAACGCCUGAAGAAGCUUUCAAGACCUUCUUCAAGGUCUUGGAUGCACAACUCUGAGUUUUGGAGCUCAUUUUGCACAUUCUCAACAUGCUUCACGUUUCCAGAUUUAAUGAAGGAACGCAAUGCAGCUUCAGCAUUCGCGAUUUCAUUUGUUUUCUCUUCUUCUUCCUCGCACCAUACGCUUUUCUGGUGCAUUAACUUUGAAACUAGUGACCACCGGCUCGAUGCCUCUGGCCCUGAAAUAAAGGACAACAAGGAUUGUAACACGCCCAUGGUGGCUGCUACUACUUGUUUUAAGGUGCUAAUCACGGCUCCGGUCUCACCGUCUUUGCUCAUAAGUUUAUUGUCCAUAUGCUUCAAGUUCUUGAAGGCCUUGCUUAUUGCCUUUCUCACUUCCUUCUUGGAGGUUAAGUAUUUUCUAACCUCAUCACCAAGCCCUUCAACUCCUCCUCGUCUUCGGCGCAAAACCGAUUGGAGUUCUUGAGUGCAUUCCUUGGUUCGCAACAAGGCAUCUUUAGCGGUUCCGCAUACAUCCAGGAGCACGAGAGAUGCAUCCAAAACUUGUUCAACCGAUUUCCUUUGCUGGUCUUGAGCUAGAGCUUGUUGAGUGAGGGGAAACUGAAGCAACAUAUCCACAUAGUCGUACAAAUCUUGAAGACAGGCCAGUUCAUGUCCUGUGGAUGACGAAGAUGUAGAGGCCGAUUGAGAUGCCCUGAAUCGGUUCAGAUUUUCAUCAAUUUGGGAAGUGAUGGGGUGUUGCCUUGAAGGCAAGCUGUUUGAGCGAGCAUGGAAAGAAGGUUGGACAUUCAAAGGAGAGGCAGCCAUUUUCUUUGUUUUAGAGAAGAAAGAAGGCCUUGCAAUUGCAAUUGUGUGUUUCAACUCACUCUACCUAUUUGCUGUCUUCCCAUUGUCAUCUGCUGAAUAUAUAUAUAUUACAGGCUGAGGGUGGACAAGAAGAAUCUCAUCCUCUUUAAAUAUCAAUUACAAGUAACAUGAACUUGAUUUGGAUCUACAAAAAUGUUCAUGUGUUGUCUCCUUUCCACCGUCAAAACAACUCAUUACCCUUUAGCAAAUACAAUCAAAACUUAUCUUCAAUACCAUGAUAAUAAUAUAAAAAUAUACAAAUACACACGAUGGUGCUGAGAAAGUAUAUAGGCAAUGGCCAUUUGCUUUUCCGUUCUUCCCUUAUAUUAAUACCUCAUUGCUUUCAACUUGUCUGCUGGUUAUCACCUUACGUUUGGCUAAAGGGAGGCAAGAUCCGCGUGCUUGACUUGUAUACUAUAAUUUUUAGCAGGAAAGCAUUUCUUGAAGAUUCGAUUGUCCCUUAACUAACAAUUUUUUAUGAUGCAGCUCGUGUAUGAUCUGAAUCAACCAUGUGAAUGUCAAUUGAAUUUUUUAUUAGUGUCUAAUAAUGUGUUUGUGGAUUGAGACGGUAGGAUUCUUGACAUUGAAGAAGAUGAUUCAGGGAUAGUCAAGAAGAGUUUAACAACCUUCCCUCAAUUGAAACAUCAAAGAAACAUUUGAAUUUAUGGCAUAAAAAAGUCGAAAGUUAGAAAAUCAGUCUUGAGUUUCUUGCUAAGUUGGUGUUUAAAACAGAAUGGAGCUUAAUCCAGACAAAUGGGAAAAAAAGGUGCAGAUAAAUGCUAGAAAAUGAUAUUGUAGUAUCAAAACUGCAUUUCAUUCAGUAUAUAUAUGUAUAUCUCAUGUCUGUACAAGAUUGGUGUUUACAAAAUUUUCUAAUGAUUGAGUGCGUUGAGAAGGGACACCCUAGCUUUGAUCAUACACCUGAAGAGGCACUGAAGUCCAUCUUCAAGAUCUUGAUAAAUUUAAAGUAACGCUGGUAGGCAAAGGUUUCAUACCAAAAUAAAGAAUUGAUUACUUUGAUACCUAUGACGAUUACACUCUUAAUAUCACCAAAUAAAUGUUAAAAUUGUACUUUUAAAUUGUGAAUUAGAAGAGGAUAUGUACAUGGAACAAUCAGAAGGAUUUAUUGUUACAAGAGAAAGGUAUAAAGUAUGUAAGCUUGUUAAAUCUCUAUAUUGACAUAAACAAGCACUAAAACAAUGACACCAAAAGUUUGACAAAGGUGUUCUAGCUAAUGGUUAUAAAAUAAACGAAUCUUAUAAGUGCAUAUAUAGAAAAUUUUGACAAAGUUGUUCUAGUCUAAGAGAUCCAUCCAACAACUCAUCAACAAACCCCUUGUUUUGUUCUUGAGUUAAUUCUUGAUGGGAAUAAGGGGCAAUUGUAGCAACUUAUCCACACAAUCAUACGAACCAUGAAGGUUGUUUAGUUGAUGGCUUAUUGAUGAUGAGGUUGAUGUUGCUUCGAAAUCCCCUCAUCUGUUCAAAUGUUAAUCAAUCUCUAAAACAACUGUGUAUGGUCUAGAUGGCAGAGAGAAGCUAUUAGAAUGAGCAUGGUGAAUUGUUUGGGCUGUCAUUUUUCUUUCUUCUUCAGGGAAAUAGCCUAAUGGUUGAAUGUUUCUACCUAUUAUUUGCUAUGUGGAAGUAAGCAUCAACUCCAUUUUAUAUAUACAUCAGGUCAUAGAGACAAAAGAAAUCUCAAGUACUUCGUUAAUAAAUUAUUUUUAUCUUUUCUUUCAAUUUGGAUCUCGAUCUGAACACUUUGUCAGCACUAUUUAUGCGAAAUGUCUUCCCUCAACUAUGUUGGAACAUUUUCAAAUAUUAAUAUUGUCCCAAUAACUAUAAAUGAAAAGAUGGAAUUAAUCAAAAGUUAUAACUAUUGGUUAUUAAUCAAGAGUUAUAACUAUUUAUAAUAAUAAGUUCAGUCUCUUAAGUAUGAAGGUUAUAUCACUUGAUUUUUUUAUAAUGAAUUAUAACUAUUCAAGUUGUAUUACUUAAACAAUUAUGUUUAUUUAAGGGAUGCUACUUAGAUAAUUGUAUCUCUUACUAUAAUAAUUAUAUCUAUUUCAGAGAUAUUAGUUGAAUAAUUAUGUUUUUUUAAAGAUGUAAUUAUUCAUAAAAGACACCUAUUAAAAGUUAUGUCUCUAUGAAAAUAUAUUCGAUUAUUUCCUUGAUUCAUUCUCCGUUGAGUUCUCCGUUAUAACUUUCUACAGCCUAAUGGCUAAGGAUGUUGAGAACAGAAACUCUAGUUUUGACCAAGAGCUUCAACAAGCACCCCACUCCAUCUUUAAGAUAUUGAAUGCUUGGCAACAUCAAUGCUCAUUUUACCAUUUUUUCUGGUCUUGUUACCAAUAAUAGAGCUCAAAACUGCAUCCACUUUCUCGAGUUCAUUGGUUUUCGUUGCUUCUCCCUCGUGUGUUAUGCGUUUGGAGCUCAUCAACUUGGACAGUAAAGACCAAUUGGUCGAUUUUGAUUCCAUCUCUGUGCAAUCGAUAUGAGAAAAGAGGGAUUCAAACACUGUGAAUACAACUCCUUGUACCUCUUCCAACAUGCUAAAUGCGGCCUCAACAUCGUUUUUUGAUAGAGCAAAGCAACAUUUACAAGCUUUUCAGAGACUUGUUUCUUAACUUCUUUGCUUUCUUGCUUGAAGCCAAGUAUUCCUUAGCUUCAUAUAUGAAACCAGCUUCAUCACCUCUUCUUCUUCUCAAAAUUGAUUGAAGUUGUUGGGUAUCUUCCUUGGCCUGCAAUAAAGCAUCCUUAGCCACACCACAAACAUCCAAGAGCUUGAGAGACCCAUUCAACAACUUGUUAAUCUACUUUUCAUUAUAUUGUUGUGCUAAUGAUUUUUGUCUAAGUGGCGGUUGAAGCAAAUUAUCAACCAACUCACAAGAUCUAUAAGGCCGCCUAGUUUUUGGCUCAUUUCUAUUUCUAUAUGAUAUUGGAAUUAUUAUAAUAAUGAAUUUUUUUCAAGAAUUAUGGAGUAAAAGGACUAAAAAGGAAAAGUUUUUGCACCAGAUUUUAUUACCUUGUUUGUGAAAGGAAAAUGUCAAAAUAUAAAUAAUAAGAUACAUUAUUGUUAUAUUAUAGAAUUUGAUCCAUUUACAUUUGAACAGAUAAUGAAAUCUCAAGAUGCUGCUUUUUGAAAAGAAGCAAUAAAUAAUGAGAUGGAUUUAAAAAAUGGAAAAUUAAACAUAGAUUUUAGUUAAUCUUCCGCAAUUUUCCUCAUCAAAGUUUCGUACUAACAAUUUUAAGGUUCUACACUAUUUUCAUUAUGGCUAAUGCAACACAUGAAAGUGCAACACUAAGGGAUUUGGCUUUCAAUUUUGUCAAGCUUGACCAGUUUGAUUGUGGCAAUUUCUGAUAAUGGCAGAAAAGGUGCAAUUCUUACUAUCUACUUUGAAGUUUACUUAUGUUUUGGAUACUCCAAGACUGGAAGAGAAUAGAAACAAAUCUCUUGUUUCAACAUGAGAAAUUAAAAAAUGAGACUGUUAAUUUCAUAUGGAUAAGUCACAUAUUGAAUGAUUUAUUUGAUGGUUUAUUUGAUAGCUACCAAAACGAGGUCACUGCUAAGGAAUUAUGGGACAAAUUGGAGAUAAUAUACAUGAUCGAAAAUGAUACAAGUAAAAAUUUUCUUGUUUUUCAUUUUAAUAAUUAUCAAAUGAUUGAUGAUCGUUUUGUUAUGGAACAAUUUCAUGAUAUUGAAAAUAUGUUGAAUCAGUUUAACCAAUAUGAUAUGAGAAUGAAAAAUUUUGAUUGUUGUAUCUUCCAUUAUAGACAAGCUUCCUUUAUCUUGGGAAGACAUUAAAAGAAUAACUUACCAGUUAUUACCUUUUGGCGUCUAACUAAUUAAUUAAUCGACCAAUACACACUUAUCUUUUGACCUCAAUUUCUUGAUCGGGAUAACUUCUGUUUUACUAAGUAAACUUAUCUUUCGACCUCUUUUAUCCUAAAUUACUUCCUAGGGUUGUUAAUCCUAAGGUUUAAUCACACAUAAUUUAAACCAACUAAUUUGAAAACAAACAUUAAUUCUUCCACUAAUUAUUCCCAUAUCCGAUCAUUAAUCUCCGUAAGGAAAUUAACCGUUCAUAGAUCUAGACACAAUUUUCCCUAAUUUCAUAUUAAACAUGCAAAUAAAAUAAUUAAAUAGAAAAAAGGGAAUAAAGAAAUUGAUCCAUUUUGAUAUCGAUUUGUACACGAAAGCUGAAAUUCCUUUGACAGUUACGAAGAUUGUGUCGUUUGUAAUUGAAAACCAAAAAGAAAGUAAUAAAAAUGCAAUAACGAAAACCAAGUGAGAACAAAGGAAAAGUUCUAUUUUUGAAUAAAAGGACUAAAUUGAAAUAAAACUAAAGCUAAAAAUAAAUUCCUAAAAAUCUAAUCUAAAACGGCUCACUCGGCCAAGCUUCCAAACCUAGGCUAAACAUCAAUAUUUAUAGCCAAACGUUAUGUCCUAAUUAGGUCAAUUAGAAACCCUAAAGCUAAAUAAGAUGUGUUGUGCAGACGAAAAGACCCUUGACUUAAAAUUGCAUAUUGUUGCUCUGGUGUCGCGACACUGUACUUUGUAGGUGACUUCUUUGGCUUCAAAGUGUGGUGUUGUGAUACCACAUAAUGGUCUUGCAAUGGUGUCAUUAUUCUUUGUAUUCUUAGCCCAAAAACAGUGUCUUGCACACUAGAUCGACAUGUUAGUCCUUCCCUAGGCCCAUAUUGGCUCGUGAUAAGUGCUAAAAGUAACAUAUUUUUACCUCAUUCUUAAUGCAUUUUUCGGUGAUUAUUCGAUGUCAACUGUGAAUUUUAUGCUCCUAAUCCUUUAAAUUCAUGUUUUUAUGCUUAAUAAAGCACUUGGGAUUAAAAUGAGUAAAAAACGAGCGAAAAUCAAAAAAUCAAAACAAGCUACAGGAUUCACAAGGGCUGACCCAUUCCACACGGUCGUUGACCCACACGGGCUACCACACAGCCAUGUGGUAGACCAUGUCGAUUGUGCGAAUUUGCACUCUAAAAUGCAGAAAAACACAUUUUUAGGUUUUUCGGACAUUCUAAGACGUUUAUAUGACAAAAAUAAAAAGAUGGGAGAGAGCCACCAUAGAAUAUUCAAGAAAGCAACUUGAAAAACACCAUUGAAGCCGAUUCUGAAGUAGAUUUCUGUCAAGAUUGAAGAUUCUCAGUUUAUUUUGAGGAUAUUAUCAUGAAUUUCUUUAUUUCUUUUGGUUAUAUUGUAUCUUGAACGCUUUUAUUUUCAAGCAUAAGAUAAUUUUAUAAAUACCUAGGGAGAUGAAUCCUAUGAUGGAUUCUGUCAUUUGAUUUUUAUUUUACGCAGUAGAGACUUAGUUUCCUAUUCUCAAUUAUGUAUGCUUAAUUCUUGGUUUGAUAUUUCUAGACUACUAAUCCAUGUUUGAUGUGCUUAAUAAUAGAUCUUGCGUAAUUGAGUGGAGUUGCAUGCAAUCCUAGAAAUAAGAUGACAUAAAUCUACCGGAUUAGAAUCAAAUCUAAUAGUAGAAUUCAUUGCACAAGGUAAUGUGAUAAUAGAUUUUUUAAUUAGAAAGAAAAUUCAAUUAAUCAACCUAGAGUCAGUUGCUCUUAUUCUCGAAAGAGAUAUUAGGAUAAUUUAGGGAUUUCUACAGAUCAAGUUACUAAGUAAAGAAAUUAUGUAAUUUAGUGUAAUGACCCAAAAUUUACGGGCAUCGUAAAAGUACAUUGUUGGGCCUCCGUCUUAGCAAAGUGGGUUCGUAAAUAAUUAUUAGGAAUACUUAGUCUAGUAGUGUGUUUAAUUAGGAUUUAAUUAGGUGAAUUUAGCUUAAUUUAGGGUAAAUAGUAAAAAGAACUAAAUUGAAUUAGGGGUAAAAGUUGAAUUAUAGAUUAAUAGAAAAUAAAAAAAUUAAAAUGACAAUUAAGCCAUUAACAAGAAAUGAGGUGGCAUAUAUGUAAUAAAAAUCUAAGAUUUUUAUGUUAUAUUUUAAUUAUAAAAUUAAUUAUUUAGAUAUAAAUUAUAUUAAAUUAAUUUAAAAUAAUUAUAUUAUAAGAUUUUUAUAUGAUAAAUAAAUUGAAAUUAUGACAAGUGGAUGGUGGUGAUAAGGUACAAAUGUAAAAUACAUAUGUUUACAUUUGUAAUACAUAUAUUUGUUAUGAAAUAGAUAUUUAUUGUUAUAAUUAUUAAAUACUAUUAUUGUUUAUAUUAUUAUUUUUAUUAUUAUAUUAUGGAAUAAAUUAAGAAAAGAUAAAUGUAGGGUGUAAAAAUUAUACAUGUGUCAUGCAUAUAUUUACACACUUGUAAAAUAAAUAUAUAAUUACUUAAAAUUUAAGUAUAAAGAUAUAGAUAUUAAUUAAUUAAAUAUAAAACAAAUAAAUCAAAUGGUGCCAAAUGUAGGGUGACAAAGUUGAACAAAUGUAGUAAAAUAUGUAUAUACUCUUGUAAUAUUAUUAAAAGAUAUUUAUCAAUUAAAUAAUUAUUAAUAAGUUAUAUUAUUAUAAUAUAAAGUAAAGAAAUAAAAACGAAACAAAAUAAAAAGAAAGGAGAAAGAAGCAGAGAGCAUUUCGAAAUAGAGCAGAAGAAAGGAGAAAAAUAAAUAUAAAAGGAAAAACUAGGGUUUGAGGCUUUAAGCUUUAAUUUGGUAACUCAAUAAAGUUCUUUUCUUUUAUUUUUGAUGUUUUAGAAGUCUUAGAACAAAGUUUUGUUGAAUUUAAGUUAAAAUUUUGAAAGUUCUUAGAUUUUUGAACAUGAUUCAUGUUGAACAAAUUGUUGAAUUAGGGGUUUGAUUGAUAGAAUUUCUAGUUAGAAUUGAUAAAAGGAUUAAAUUGAAAGAAAUUUAAAAUUAGGGUUUAUUCAUGGACAUUAGAUAGUUAAGUUGAAUUUGGUAGGAAAUGGAGUAGAAAUAAAGUAUGAAUUUAUUUAGAAAAGUAAGUGAAUUUAAUUAAGACCAAAUUGAAAUUAAGGUAGAAAUUGAAUAGAAAUUUAAUUAUUUAAUAUAAAUUAGUAUUGUAUUAAUAUUGUAAAUUAUUUUAAUUUCCGUAGCUAACAAAGAACCAGGGACAUCGGCACAGAAGGGAAAAGAGAAGGUUAUCGAGGACUGAAUCGAGAAAAUUCGAGUUUGUAUUACUAUAAUUCAAAUUAUUUAUUAUUAAAUGUUAUAUUUAAAUUUAUACGGAUGGUAAGUGAAAUAUAUGGUAAUUAUUAUUAUUAAGUUGAAAGAAAUUCAAUUGAAUGAUGAAUAUAUGUGUGGAAUUGAAUCGAAUAUUGACUUGAAAAUGGAAAAGUGAAUUUUGAAUCGAAUUGCGAUUGAAAGUGGAAAAAAUGAAAUUGAAUUAAAAUGUGAAUUUGGAGACCUUAUUAACUAGUCAAACUAAGUCAGAUAUAGUUCACAUGCCAUAGGAUUUGGAAGAGUACAGGAUUUAUCGGCUUUGCCGGUCAGGCACUUUAUGUGUCGUAUAUCAGGCACUUUAUGUGCCGUAUAUCAGGCACUUUAUGUGUCGUAUCAGGCAACUCGUGUGUCGUUUCAGGCACUUAUGUGUCGUAUACUGAUUAGGUACUAUGUACUGUUUUAGGCACAACGUGCCGUACUGCUGUGUUUGGUUGGAAUUCGUGUAUCCGCCAAGGUCCAGGUUUGUUAAUAGGGUGAAUAACUGAAAUGGAAAAAAUUUAAAUGAAUUUGAUUGAUUGUACUUUUGAAAAUGUGAGAAAGUUGAAUUGUGUAUUAAAAUUGAGAUUGGAAAUUAAAGGCAUGAACUUAAUGUUCAUGUAGUGAUUGAAAUUGAGACAUAUGAUAUGUGAAUGAAAUUGAAGAAUAGAUAAAAAAAUUAUAUUGUUAUUGUUAAUUAAUGAAAGCUUAAGAAUGAAUUGUUAUUUGAAAAAUUGGAUAAUAUAUAUGCUUGACAAUUAUAUUCCAUUAUUAUUAUUAUUAUUAUUAUUAUUGAGUUAUGGUAAUACCACUGAGUCUACCCAUACUCAGCGUACGAUUGUUUCCGUGCGCAGGUCAGUAGAAGUCAAAAGUCUCGGCCCAACAUCCAAACGAUCUCGACUCCAGCACAAAAAUUUUGGUGAUAUGUUUUCUUCCUUAAUGAAAGUGGCAUGUGUCGAAACCAGUUUUAAAUUAUUUUGAAAAAAUGGGGAUUGACUUUAAAAAGACAAUGGAGUCGCCACCGAUCUUUUAUUAAGGUGUGAUCGGUUCACCAUUAGAAAUAUUUUUUAGACCUGCGAAUUUUGAGAAAACAGGUUCGGGAGUCGGUUACGCACGAGGAAGGGUUAGCACCCUCGUGACGUCCAAAAUUGGUACCGAAUUGAUUGUUUAAUGUCUUAAUGUCGAAAUUUAGAAAAGAUUUCAAAUACGAUCCUUUUUAUUUUGAAUAAAUUGAAUAAUAAAACAUUCUUAUUUCAAAGGAAACGAAACGACACACCCAAUACGUUAGGGCACGACAUUUUAAUCCUCGAGAAUAAGUUUGUCUUUUGAUUUUCAAAACUUGCGUGGUGAGAUUUUAAAAGGAUAUUCAAUUGCUUUGAGUCAAAUGAAAAAAUGAAACCCAAUACGUUAGGGCACGAUUUCUCAAAGUUCUUAGCAUUGAAUAUUACCCUUAUUAUUAUUAUUAUUUUAAAAACCUCAUUUCGAGAAAACGACGUAUCACAUCCAAUACAUUAGGACACAACUUAUCGAGUUCCCGAGAUUGAGUUUUAUGUAUUUUGAUUAAGGAAACUUUCGAUUAUUUAGAUUCAACGAGGAGAAAUAAGACCCAAUACAUUAGGGCUCGAUCCUCUCGGGGAUUCCAAACAUCGGGAAUUGCCUUUAUUUUGAAAGUUCUCGAAUAAAUUGGUUUGGUUACUCAAAUGACAUUAAACAUAAUUCUUUAAACCAAAUAAAAAUAAAAGGUUAAAAAUACUAUAUACAAUGCAAAAUGACGAUUCAUAAACCUAAACGUAUAUUAAAGCAUAUCAAACAAUCAAUACAUAUAUAACAAUAUAAUAUGCCAAAGGUAAGAGUCUCAUAUUAUAUGCUGAUGGAAUAAUAAGAAUCAAAUGGAAUAUCGGAUAAAUUGAUAUACAAUUUUGAUAUGGACUAAAAAACAUGCAAGAAAAAAAAAAUAAUAAAAUCAAUAAAUCACAUGCAUAAAAUUUCAUCGCAAACAAUAUAUAUAUGUACAUGCGAAUUUAAAAUGGAUUUAAAAGAUGAUGAAAGAAAUACCAUUUGGAAUUAUAAAACAAAAUGAAUUUUACAAAAUGAUAAAAAAAAAUUAAAAAAUACAUACGACAUACCCAACAUAUACCUAUAUUAAUAUAAAUAGGUUACCACGCAUACGAAAUGAGCAAUUAAUAAUAAUACAAAUAAUACUAGGGUUAAUAAUAUUAAUAUUAUUAUUAGAUUAAUUAUUAUAAAAAAAUGAAGUGAAUCAAAUCAGCUCAAAAACAGAAUUGAAAGAACCCAAAUGAAAAUAAAAUAAAACGAAGGGACCAAAUGCAAUGUGCGGACAACCUGGAGGACCAAACGGGAAAUAAUCCUUGUCUCCCCAUAACGCUGCAUAUAAUCUGGACCCAGAUGAAAUAGAGGCAAAAUGUAGCACCAAAUUCACAAAAAAAAGAAAAAGAUGAUUUGGAAACGCCCCGGAAGAAGGAGGACCGAAUAAGCAAAUAACCCUACCAAGACCAUGACGCGCGGAUCUCAGCCGCUUCUGGGUCGGGUCAUCGGGUUAAGAUUAAACGGUGCCGUUUCGAGAGCUGUUAACCCUAGCCCAAAACGACGUUGUGCGACCACCUAUUUAAACUAAAAAAUUUUGGUAACUCAGUUACCCUAACAACAAAAAUGCAGAAAAAGGAGGUGCCCCCUUUUCCUCAUCUAUGCCUAGGUUUCACCCUAGUUUCCCAUUGCCGAAAGCUCCGUCGGUUUCCGGCCUCAUAGCCCUCGUCCGUACUUCGAUUGUGACGAAGUGAACGAGGCUUCGAUCGCCACUGCCCCAAAGGUAAAUCUCCCCUCCGUUUCUUUUAUUUUGCAAAACUAUCACUAGUAAUCACACAUCAAAGAAGACGGAGAAGACAAGAAAAAAGAGUCACCUUUAGCAAUUUUUCUUUGAUUUCCUUUCUACUAUUUCUUUUGUAUUUUUUCUCGUAAAAAAAUUUACAAAGGCCUCGACAUUCGUUUUAUAGGCCGGGAAAAAGUGAAACAAAAAUGAAAAAAUAAAAAUACAAUUUUUUUCUUUUCUACUGCGUCGUUGGCUUUGUUUGCAGGUCGUUGCAGGUGCGAGGCCGUACGGUGAUGUGGCACGGCUCGGCGCGGCGUAUGGGAGCUACUGCUGCGGUGGCUGGAGUUGAGUGUUGGCGUUUCAGCCUUGGGUUGUAUUGGGCUAACGGCUCGGGCUAGGGUUAGGUGUUAAGUUGGUAUUUGGGUCUAGGUAAUUUUUGGGCUGAGUUGGGCUUAUUUCACUUCUGGGUAUUUAGUUUAUUUUUAUAAUUGGGCUGUAUAUUGUAAAACAGACUGUUUAUUUGGACUUUUAAUUUUGUUUUUAUAUUUAGCUUAGGGACCGGGCAAAAAAUGGGUAUUACAGCUGAUAUGUUUUCUUCCUUAAAUGAAAGUGGCAUGUACAUAGGUGUUGCAAUGGUCACUUUAUAAUGUUAUAUAACAUUGGUUGUAAUGAAUGAUAUUUGGUGUUUUGAUACUAAGUUUAAUAAAAUGGUAUGACAAAUUUGGUAAGCUUGGGUAACAAACCUGGAAAAAAACAAUUUCCAAGUGCCUGAAUUAGUCCUAAAUCACUCAUAACUAGUAUUUUGGGCCUCCAGGGUCCAUCUAAGGGACUUGAAGCUUAUUUUAUAUUAUGUUCGAUAAUUAUUUGUAUACUAAUUGUAAAUCGUCCGAUAAGUCUGGUAAUGCUCUAUAACCCUAUUUCGGUAAUAGUUUGGGGUUAGGGGGUGUAUCAUUUAGAUUGAUAGUAACAAAUGAAAUCUAGGUGAAUUCUUUCUUAGGUAUUGUUUUGUUUCUUGGUUGUUAAUCGAUUAUUUUCGUGAUUUAUUCUUUGUUGUGUUCAUUAGUUAAUUAAUUUAGUUAAUUUUUGUUUUUAAUCAAUCACUCGAUUUAUUUGGUUAAAUAAUAAAAAGACAGUAAUUACUAGUACAUUUAGUUUUGAAUCAAUCAUCCGAAUUUCUCCUAGGGUGGUCAAGAAAGUCAAAGAUCAUAACCCCCUUAUGGGUUUUCAGCAACCUUAUCAGCAAGAAAAAAAAAGCCAAAUCUAAAAUAGAUGUUAAUGAAAUUUAUUUCAGUGUUAGAAACUAGAUUCAAGAACACUGAAACAACUUUGAGGAAUCAUCAAGCAUCUAUUCAGGGACUUGAGAAUUAGACUAGUCAGCUUGGUAAAUUGGUUUCGGAGAGACAACAAGGCAAUUUACCCAGUAACACUAAAACCAACCGAAAAGAGCAAGUCUGCGUAAUCACUGUACGAAGUGGAAAGGUGCUAAUCGAACCUUAAAAGAAGCUGAAUCUAGAAGCUAUUGAGAAAAAUGAAGCGGUUGAGGAAAGUAAGAAAGAGCAUAAGCAAGUGGUCAAAGAAUACAAACUGCCAAUUCCAUAUCUGACAAAAGUGAAGAAAGACCGCAUGAAUGAACAAUAUGGUAAAUUUCUUGAACUUUUGAAAAAACUACAUAUUAACUUACCUUUUGUUGAAGUUCUUUAGUAGAUGUCAAAGUAUACAAAAUUUUUAAAGGAGUUGUUAACAAAUAAAAAGAAGUUAGAUGACCUGUCCAUUGUGGAGCUCAAUGAGGAGUGUUCGACCAUUCUCCAAUAAAAAACUACCCACCAAGCUUAAAGAUCCAGGGAGUUUUACUAUCUCUUAUUUUAUUGGUAGCUUAAAUGUGGAAAAAGCUUUGGCUGAUUUGGGUGCUAGUAUAAAUUUGAUGCCUUAUAAAAUGUUCAAACAACUUGGUCUCAAGGAACCAAAACCCAAUAAGAUGAGUAUUCAAUUAGCUUACAAAUCAAUUAAGUAUCCUAAGGGCAUUAUUAAAGAUGUACUUGUUAAAGUCGAUAACUUUAUAUUCCCUGUUGAUUUUGUUAUAUUAAACAUGGACGAGGAUAUUGAGGUACCCAUAAUCUUAGGUUGACCCUUUUUAGCCACUGCUAGAACUGUUAUUGAUAUAGGUAAUGGUGAACUUUUGCUAAGGGUAGGUGAUGAAGAGGUUACUCUUCAAGUACAUGAAUUUGUGAGAGUUUCUAGUGAGUGAGAUGAUACUCGUUAUUUUGAUAAUGUUAGUAAUUGUGUGACUCAAAAUUCUUUGCAGGAAAUCACUAAUGAAAACAUGUUAGAAUUGUAUCCUGUUCAAGGUGAUAAAAGUUAAGGGACAAGUGGAGAACGAAUGGUGCAACUUGAUGAAUUAGACAAAUGGCAACCAAAGGCUUAUGAGAAACCAAGAAUGUUCAAAGAAGUAACAAAGAAAUGCCAUGGUGUGCAUUUAAAAUGGAUGAACAAAUUCAAAGUAGGAGACAAAGUGUUGCUACACAAUUUAGAUCCAAGAAUGUUCCUUGAUGAGCUUAAAUCAAGAUGGUCAAAUUUUUUAUGGUACAAAAUGUAUUCUUGUACCAAACCUUUGAGGUAACACACCCUGAUUACGACACAUUCAAGGUAAAUGGUCAUCGACUCAAAAUUUAUUUUAGUGGUCGUACUAAUAACAAAAGAGAAUAGCUCCAACUCCAAAAUCUGACUUAACCGUGAGCUUCAAAAGGGAAGUUGAGCUAAGACUCUAAAUAAGUGUUUUUCAAGAGGCAACCAAAGCAUUUUAUUUAUUUGACUUUCAUCUAAUUAAGUUGCACGUUUAGUAUAAUAUUUUUAUUACUUUAAAACAAUUAUCCAGUAUAUUUAUUUCUAUUACUAAAAUAAUCAAAACAAAAAAUGGACAAAACGGUCUAGGGUGAUUCACACAGCCUGGUCACACAGUCUUGUGUGACACACGGGCAUGUCAUAGGCCGUGUGAAUACUAGAGCGAAUUUUUUCCAACUUUCUUUUGAUAACAUGGUCACACAGAGUUACACGGCCUUAAGACAUAGCCGUGUGACACACAUUCCUUGGCACGGGCAUGGGAGAAGCAAACAAUGACCUCACACGGCCUACAUCAACCCAUAUAGCCUGGACACGUGGGCGUGUCAUAGACAGUGUGACUACUGGAGUGAAUUUUUUUAAUUUUUUUUGCAUAACACACAUGAUCUAAGUGAGGUCACACAAUCUGGCGAUAUGGUCGUGUGACCUACAUGACCAUGCACACGAUCAUGGUAAAAGCGAACAAGAGCAUCACAUGAGCUAAGAUAGGCCAGACAACAUGGUGACAUCACCAUGUUGGACACAUGGGCAUGUCAUAGGCCAUGUGAAUACUAAAGCUGAUUUUUUUAAAAUUUUUGAGAGACACAUGUACUAGGUGUAAGUACACGGCCGUGUGGCCCACAAGGCUUGACAGAUGAUCGUGGACCUCUUUAAAGUUGCAAUUUGUAUUUUUUAUUUAUUUUCUCCCUUAUUCCUCAUCAGUCGUCAUUAUUUAAAACCCUCACCCCGCCGUCGAUCGCCACCUUGGCAUUCAACCUCUGCCGUUGUUCCCUUUUUGUCAUUUCCUUCACCAAUCUCUUUGGUCCCUAAUAUCCCUCCUAAAAAUCCACUCUUCUCCCUUACUUUCUGAACUCACCACCGGUCUCCCACUCCCUAUAUCUAGUUUUGUUUAAUAAAACCACCGCCCAAGAUUACACGCCACCGAUCGACCAUUCCUCACCCAUCCCCUUCUCUUUUCAAAUCAUAAGCUCACCACCGCUAAAUUCUCUUUUCCCCCUCUCCGUUCAUCAACCCUUUCCCCCUUUCCCCAUCUUUUGUUUCUCUCUCGCUGCUGAUGGCACCUUACCUUUCCUCUUCACUGCCAAUCAAUCAUCCUUAGACCACUUCGCCCACAAGCCACCGUCGUUAGUCCCUUUUUCUUUAUUAUUUUUAUGUUUGUUAUUAUUAUUAGGAACGUUAGUUAUAUUAUUGUUUUAUGCAUUCGAUUAUUGUUAGUAGCAGAUUUUUUUUCAUUUUUUAUGUUAUUAUUAUUAUUUUCUUUAGAAUUAGUUAUGUUUUAAUUAGGAAUCGGUUUUCGUCGUAAGGAGUAUUGCACUCCGUUAGUUGUGUGUCGUAUGUCAAUCAGUUCAUCUACUAGACUAGUUCAUUGAUUGGUGUUCAACUUUCUGGCUCUGUGCAUGCUAAAUCUUUAUGUUACAAAUUCGAUGUUUUGGGUUAAUUUCUGUCGGUACAAUUUUUUUUGUUUUUUAUAUUUUUGUCUGAUAAUUGUUACCCAUAUCACCUAUAUUCAUAUGAUAUGAAUUUUAUCGAUGUUGAUUAUGCCCCUGUCAAUAAUUCACUAUUGUUCUGAUAGUUGAUUGUCUUUUUCUUUUAUUAGGUACAUGAUGUCGAACAAACCAGGAAAAAUUAAGGUACCCACUCAUUCCAAGGAAAAAAAGCUAUUGGAACUUCAUCUUCGUCAUUUCUGACCGCAACCACUAUACUCCGAUACCUUAUUUUUUACCAUCAACCCCAUGAGGAGAGGUACCAGUAUCUAAAGGACAGAUCAUUGGGUUUGGUUAGGUGUAUUGACUAGGAAGCCCUUUAGACUGUGGGUUUAUUUGCUCCGGUUCAUACUCUUUUGGAAGCGACUCCAUGGGAAUGGUUCCUCGCGAUCGUGGAGCCGACAUAUACUGAGGUUACCUUGGGGUUUUGCUCCACUUUUUUUCCUACAUACAGUGCUAUUGUGAGGGGACGAACCACAUGUGAUCUCAUUCUAUCAUGGCGGCAUCACUCAGUAUUUGAACAUUGCAGGAUUUGGAGUCACACAUUGUACCACCAUUAACCCGUUGUUUUUUUCCCCUUCCUACUGCCACACCUUGUACCACCAUUAACCUGUUGUUUUCUUUUUGUUUCUCUAUGUAGUCGUCGUACAUUGAACCGUUGAACCUCUCUUGAUUAUUCCCUUCCGCUGUCGUCACCUCUACUACUAUUUGGGUUGUCGAUCUUCCUUCCUUCCUUGAGGGAUUCCUUAUUCAUUCGAUACACUAUUGGUG
RNAcentral lists this long non-coding RNA (78157 nucleotides) under Gossypium barbadense (sea-island cotton). Its description in RNAcentral is "long non-coding RNA (GBAR_LNC013718)". The record is from RNAcentral. Lineage: Eukaryota; Viridiplantae; Streptophyta; Magnoliopsida; Malvales; Malvaceae.